AACAAAGACAACAACAGUGUAGAAGUUGCACACUUCCAUGGCUUACAAGAAGCAUUGGACGAAACUCACUAUGGGGAAACACCAGACUACCUCAAACUCACUAAGUUUGGCCAUAAAAAUAUUGAAGUUCUGGUUUGUGCCGCAAUCAAACAGAUGGAAGACUGGCGUACACCUAAGGAUUCCGGCUGUAACCAGUUGAAAAAGUGGGCCGCGACGCUCAAUAUGGGUAAGGAACAGGAUUUUGAAGUGAAAUUUGCUGAUGACAUGUUGAAUAAUAUUUGUCUUGCCUGUUAUGCUUACUCAAUGAUUUAUGGAGAGGAUGGUUCAGUUCAUAAGGUUGCGAGUGGAAGGGUGUGAUGCUCAUAUGGUAUUUGGUAUUUAAACUCGGUGAAUGGUUUGGAUAUUUCAACUCGGUGAAUUAGUAUGGUUAUUUUUCUAUAUUUGGUUUUAGUCUUUGAACUCAGUAAAUCGUUUUAGUAUUUGGUAUUUGAACUCAUAUGUUUUGAUAUUUGGUAUUUUGAACUCAGUUAAAGAACUUGGGGUUUUUAUGGUUAUAUUUCUAUAAUUGGUUUUAUUAUAAGAACUUAGUGAAUGGUUUCGGUAUUCGAAUUCAGUGAGUUUAUAUUGUGUCAGGAAUGUUGUCUUCUAUAUGAAUUUUUGAUGAAUUGGUAUGUUUUAUGUUUGUGUUAUUUCCUUUAUCUGGUUUAGGUUAGAAAAUUUGAAUGGUUGAUUAUAAAAUUUAUCAUGUCCAAGUAUUGAUAGCAUGUUUGAUCUUGGAUUGUAACAUUUGCGUUCUGGCUUUGAUGCUCGUCACCCCACAAUGGGUAAAUAUUUUGUCACAUAAUUUAUGGUGCAGGUGAAGUGUUCAACAAAAUAACAGAAAUUUUAAGUAUAGAGAGUACCAUAAUGCAAUUCAUGGUAUUUGCAUUACAUAAUAUGGAGAGACUUUUGGGGUAAUUGAUAGCUCUAAAAUAUAGCUAAUUCCCCACAUAUGCACUAACAAUUUCUUUCCUCAGCUCAUUGGAUUUUUCUGUCAUUAACCCCAUGGCUCAGUUCCAAUUUCUCAGCUAAUUUCCAUCCUAGUUUCAACUAACUCCUAAACCUCUAUUGCUAUUUGGGGUAAAUGUAUAUCGGUGAUCUUUACUCGAAAAAUGAAUAAAUUAGUCAUUUUUAUAAAAAAAAUUAUUCAUUUCUAUUCUUAAAAACUAACAUAACAGAUGGAAUAAUCACACAAUUACACAUGGCGUGCCAAGUGUACCUCAUACUAACGUAUAAUGACUAAUUUUUAACAAUAAAAAAUGAAUGAAUUUUUUAACAAAAUGACUAAUUUACUCUUUGAUCUAACGUAUAUUGAUUAAUUUACUCAUUUUUUUAGUAAAUGAGACAAAAUACAAUCUAACUCCUAAUACAAAGACCUUCGUCAGAGGUGUAGCCAGAGGACUGUCAGGCUCAGCUUCCCUUCAAAUAGAAAAUUUUUCAUUUAUAUCUUUUAAAUUUUUUAAAAUUUUAAAUUAGUAAAGAUAAAAAUGCACUUUAGUCCUCCUAAAAAUGAUAAAAAUUUGAUAGGCUAUUCAAAUAGUAAAAUUAUUUUUUUACUAUCAUAAAAAUUAAAUUUUAAUUUCAGCCCCUUAACAAAAUUUUUUGCCUUCAACCCUAAUACUUUUACUCUAUUUGAUGUAUUUUUCUUCAACUCAUUUUCACCAUAAAUCCAUAACAAUAUCCUUGUCUCCAAAGAUUGAAGUCUGAAAAUUGAGAUUUUUUAUAAUAUAAUUUAGGUCUUUUAAAGCUUUUAAAAUUUUAAAUUAGUAUAAGUGAAAUUGUACUUUGAUCUCCCCUAAAAAUAAUAACAUUUUAUUUAAUCUUUUAAAAAAUUAUAAAAAUAUAAAUUAUUUAAAGAAUAAAAUUAUAUUUUUUCUAUCAUAAAAAUUAUAAUUUAAUUUCUAUCUUUAAAAGAAUUUCUGACUUGAUCCCUAUUUUCAAUUACGUAUUCAACCACACUACCAAAAGUUGAGUUUACUGCCUGAUUGUUGUUCUUUAAUAUUCGUUUGUCUUGUACGUAAGAAUGAUAAGCAAAUGGUUGCCAAUCAUUUCUCAACCCUGUGACCAUUACUAGAGGUGCUCAUGGGCCGGGCGGCCCGGCUUGGCCCGACGGCCCGCCCGAAAUAUGGUAGGGUUUAGGUAAAAAUAUAGGCCCGAAAUAUGGGCUUGGGCAAAAAAACGAGGCCCGUUUGGAAAACGGGCCGAGCCUCGGGCACAACUUUUUAGGCCCGGGGCCGGCCUGGUCCGGCCCGAUAUAAUAAAUAUAUUUAUUUUUAAAAUUUUUUUUAAUUUUAAAAUUUUUAAAAUUUUUUUAAUUUUAAAAUUUUUUAAUUAUAUAUUUAAUUUUUAAAAUUUUAAAAUAAUUUUUUAGUAUUUUAUUAAAAAAUGGGCCGGGCCGGGCUUAUAAUUUUCUCAAGUCGGGCCUGGGCAAAAUUUUAGGCUCAUAUUUCGAGCUGGGCCCGGGCCUAGGAAUCGGGCUAAAAUUUUUUGUGGGCCCGGCCCAUGAACACCUCUACACAAGACUAACAUGAAACAAUGGAUGAAAGCUGGAAGUUGGACAGAGCAAUUGGUUUAAUGAGUUUUUUUUUUCUUGAACCGAUUUAAUUAACUUUAAAAUGAAAAAAAAAUCAGUUCCUUGUUUUUAAUUAAAAAAAUUACCAAACUGAACUGAUAUUGAAUUAGUCGGUUUUUCCAGUUAAUCAAUCCAAAUUUUUUGAGUUGAGUUUAGUGUUUAUACAGUAAUAUAUUUAAAAACUAAAUAUAUUUUAAAUAUCGAACGACAAACCAAUUAAAUCGAGAUUGAAACCAAUCAACCCGCUCCACCCCACUAAAUUGAAACCGAAAUAAUCGAUUAAUUUUUUUUAUUAAGCCAACUUAACCCGUCAUAAUAUACAAAUUUCGACUCAACUGAAUUAGAGUUAAAGAAUCGAUAUAACCGAAUCAAAUUUAAAUUGAUCAGUUCAGUCGGUUAAUCAACUUAACUUACCAUAAUAUAAAUAUAUUAAAAAUACAUCGUGAAUGUGAAAAUGUAUUUAGUUUUUCAGUGCUUAAAUAAAAUUUUUAAAAUUUUUUUUAGAUUUUUUUUUCUAACAUAAAUGUUUUUAUCAAAAUUGGUUUUAAUUUUUUAAAUUUGGAAGUUUAAUCGAAUUUUUUUAAAUGGUUAACAUUUUUUAAAAUCAAAGCUAUGUUAGAUUUGAACUAAACAUUCUUAUUUUUAUUCGAGAAAUUAUUUUAUGAACUUUUUUCAUCACAUCAUUCAUGGUUCCAUUCAAUUAAAAGAGGACACAUCAUUCUUUUUUCCAUAUCAUAUGUACAUUUGGACUAAACUAGUAGUUAUCCAACUAUAACUUUGUAAAAUUUAUGUUAUUAGUCCUUGUACUUUGUAAAAAUUAUGACUUUAGUCUCUAUGCUUUAAUUUCAUCAAUUUUAAUUCUUGAUUUUUCAAAUGGGUUAGCCCCGUGCUUUUUGAAUUUUGAAAUUAAGUAAACUACACUAAUAGUUAUCCAACUAUUAGUGGUUUUUUUUUUGUCAGACAACUAUAAAAAGUUACAAUAUUGUUAUCUGACUAUUAGUAAGUUUCUUUUUUAUCACAUAAUUAUAAAAAUUUACAAAAUGGUCAUUCACCUAUUCAAUUUUAUCUUUUUUGGUGAUAAUGUUUAAAAUUGACAUAAUAGCAAUUUUAACUCUCAAGAUUUAUACAUUGUGUCAAUUUAGUCUUGAUUUUGAAAAAUCUCACAUUCAACAUUUACUCAUUGUGUAAUUUAGUUAUUUUAUUUUAUUUUAUUUUAUGUAGUUUUGUUGUUCUUUGUAACCCUUUCACCUAAAAAGUUAAAAAAACAAAUUUAUUAACUAAAUAUGUUUGAAAAUAUACAAAAAUAGAAACACCCAAAAGUCUAAGACAAUAAUUUUCAUCUUUUCUCGUACUUUUAAAAUUAAUCUUCAAUAUCACAAAAAAAAAUAACUAUUAUAAAAGGAUAAAAUUGCACAAUGAGUAAACGUUGAGCGUUAAAAUUUUUAAAAGCAAGACUAAAUUGACUUAAUUUAUAAAUGUUAAGAGCUAAAAUUGUCAUGUCAAUUUUAAAAGAUGUCACUGUUAGCUCGCUAGUGAUUAAAAAAGAAAUUUACUAAUAGUUGGGUAAUCAUUAUGCAACUUUUCAUAAUUGAGUGACUAAAAAAGAAAUUUAGUAAUAAUUGGAUAACUAUGAGUGUAAUUUACUCUACUUUAAUUUGAUCAGGUUAGUCCCUAAAAUUUUCAAUUGAUCAAUUUUAAUCUCGGUACUUUUUGAAAUUUGAAAUUUGGGUAAACUACUUUAGUAAUCACCCAACUAUGGUUUUUCUUUUCCCUUUUUUGUCACUCAACUAUGAAAAGUUACAAAAUGAUUACUCAAUUAUUAAAUUUUAUCUUUUUUGUCACCCAGACAUAUUGUAUUUUUGGGUGUUUCUAUUUUUACGUUAGCUAACUGGUAAUGAUGUAAUUGAGCUGAGUCCAAAUACUGUCAAGCUCAACUUGAAAUUCGGAGCUCGAUACACGGCUCAAGCUUGAUUGAACAUCUAUUUUUAAGCUUAAGCUCCGCUUAAGAUAUAAUCGAGCUUCUUGAGCUCGAGCUUGAUUACCAGUUUUCGUACUCAUGCUUGAGCUCGAACUUGAGAUCUGUUCAAUAAUUAAGCUUAAGGUUAAUAAUAUAUAUUAAGGGAAAUAAUAUAUACAUAAUUUAAUAAUAUAAAAAAAUAAAAAGUUCAAUAAGGCUCACGAGUCAUUUGAGUAAAGUAUUAUUAAGCUGAAAUUCUGUUUGAUCAAUAGCUUGAGCUGUUCGAAAAUUACCAAAUCGAGUUUGAAUUUUUUUUGAGUCGAACUCAAGUAGCUUGCUAAUACCAGUUUCUCGUUUACACCCCUACUAACUAGUGACCAAAAAGAUAAAAUUUAAUUGUUGAACGAUUAUUUUGUAACUUUUUAUAGUUGAGCGACCAAAAAUAAAUUACUAAUAGUUAGUUGACAAUUUUAUAAUUUUUCAUAGUUGAGGUAACUAAAAAAGAAAAAAACCAAAAUUGGGUCAACUCUACGUAGUUUAUCCUUAAAAUUUUAAUACCACCAAACAGUAGCUUAAUUGCUUAAAUCGUCUGGUUAAAUUUAUUUCAGUUAUUUAAACUGGUUAAGCCACACUCAUUCUCACUCUAGCAAGCUUGAGUAUUUGUCGAUGAAAACCAGCUAGAGUUUUUUUUUUCUUUCUCUUUAUAAUGAACUCACACCACAAAUGAUGCCUUCAUUUCUUCCGGUUUAACGCUUCGAUACAGGCCGCGCUUCUCUUCUGUUCUCUUCUUGUGAGUUCAUGAUCAUAUCUUACUUUGAUUUUGCAUAUAUAUAUAUAUAUAUAUAUACAGGUUUCCUUUAAUAACGCUGGUUUCUUUUUCUUUAGUUACACGAGGAAAUUUUCGUUUUCAUCUAGUUUUGUAAGUUCCAUAUACGCGUUGACUUUCUCGGUUUUUUACUAUUUUUGUUCUGAGUUCGGAAAACUCUUCAGUGUUUUCUUGAUAGGUUUCAGCUCAAUAAUUUCUUUUGAUCUGAGUUUGAUCUGAGUUCUGUGAUAGUGAGUGCUACUGCAUUACUAGUUCAUGAUUUUACCUUAAUUCUGGUUUCUUUUAAAUUACUUGAGCAAAUUUUCAUUUCAUUUUUUUUUGUCAGUUUUAAAUCUGUUGUUUGAAUAUUUCAAAUAUUUUUUUAGAUUUCUUUUUCAGCAUAAAUGUUUUUAUCUAUUAUUUUUAAAAAUUGGUUUUAAUUUUUUAAAUUUGGGAGUUUAAUCGAUUUUUUUAAAAUGGUUAACAUUUGUCAAAAUCAAAGCUAUAUUAAAUUUGAACUAAACAUUAUUUUUUAUCUAUAUUACCUAUCUAAAACUUAAAAACAAAUGAGGCCAUUCUUUUCUUCGAGAUAUUAUUUUACAAACAUUUUUAACCAAAUCAUUUAUGGUCCCGUCCAAUUAAAAAAGGACAUAUCAUUUUCUUUUCCACAUCAUUUGUACAUCUGGACUAACUAGUAGUUAUCCAAUUAUGACUUUGUAAAAGCUCUGUUAUUAGUCCUUGUACUUUGUAAACAUUAUGAUUUAGUUUCUAUGCUUUAAUUUCAUCAAUUUUAGUUCUCGACUUUUCAAAUGGGUUAGUCCUGUGUUUUUUGAAUUUUGAAAUUAGGUAAACUACACUAGUAGUUAUCCAACUAUUAGUAGUUCUUUUUUGUAGGACAACUAUAAAAACUUACAACAUUGUCACCCGACUAUUAGUAAAUUUCGUUUUUUGAUCACCUAAUUAUGAAAAUUUACAAAAUGGUCAUUCACCUAUUCAAUUUUAUCUUUUUUGGUUACAACGUUUAAAAUUGACAUAAUAGCAAUUUUAACUCUCAAUAUUUAUACAUCGUGUCAAUUUAGUCUUGGUUUUGAAAAAUCUCACAUUCAACGUUUAUUCAUUGUGUAAUUUAGUUUUUUUUAUGUAAUUUUGUUGUUCUUUAUAAACCUUUCACCUAAAUUUUUUUUAAAAAAAUUUAUCAACUAAAUAUGUUUGAAAAUAUACAAAAAUAAAAACACCCAAAAUUUAAAAAUAAUAAUUUUUACCUUUUCUCGUACUUCUAAAAUUAACUAUAAAUCGUACUCUACAUAUUAUGUAAUGCAAAUACCAUGAAUUGCAUUAUGAAUAAUGAAAUUCUAGAAAUCGCACUCUCUAUACCUAAAAUUUUUUCAUUUUGUUGAACAAUUCACCUACACUAUAAAUUCUAUGACAAAAUAUUGACCCAUUGUGCAGGAAAGCAAAUGUUACAAUCCAAGAUCAAACAUGCUAUCCAUGCCCAAUGGAAAUGAAAAAUUUUAUAACCAACCAUUCAAAUUUUCUAACCUAAACCAGAUAAAAGAAAUAACACAAACAUAAAACAUAUCAAUUCAUUAAAAUUCAUAUAAAAGACCAAAUACUAAAAUAUAACCAUAAAAACCCCAAGUUCUUUAACUGAUUUCAAAAUACCAAAUAUCAACACAUAUGAGUUCAAAUACCAAAUACUAAAACGAUUUACUGAGUUCAAAGGCUAAAGCUAAAUAUAGAAAAAUAAUUAUACAAAUUCACGAGUUGAAAUACCCAAUCCAUUCACUGAGUUUAAAUACCAAAUACCAUAUGAGCAUCACACCCUUCCACUCGCAACCUUAUGAACUCAACCAUCCUCUCCAUAAAUCAUUGAGUAAGCAAAACAGGCAAGACAAAUAUUAUUCAACAUGUCAUCAGCAAAUUUCACUUCAAAAUCCUGUUCCUUACCCAUAUUGAGCGUCGCGGCCCACUUUUUCAACUGGUUACAGCCGGAAUCCUUAGGUGUACGCCAGUCUUCCAUCUCUUUGAUUGCGGCACAAACCAGAACUUCAAUAUUUUUAUGGCCAAACUUAGUAGCUUUUCCACGAUCCAAUUCGAUUAGGGUCGCAAUACGUUUGAGGUAGUCUGGUGUUUCCCCAUAGCGAGUUUCGUCCAAUGCUUCUUGUAAGCCAUGGAAGUGUGCAACUUCCACACUGUUGUUGUCUUUGUUAAAAAGUCCGGAUUGCCAGGAACUAUAAUAACACAACAUCUCCCUAGCCAGCAAACUUCCGCGGUCUUGACCAACAGGAAUAGUAACAUCAUUCAUUUCAGUACAUUGUCCUCUGACUUCAUGAUCAUUAGUUGCAGCAAUUUCUUUCAUACAUGGCACCGCAUAAUAAAGCUAAAACAACAAACAUGAAAGACAAGUCAAAUUUUGAGAAAUACAAUAAUAUUAGUGCUAUCUUUUCACUAUUUUUGAAAUUUAAGUUUUCAAAUGCUAUUUGGUUGAAUUGUUACUGUUCACUACCUAUCAUAUAUACACAUAUACCAUAUCUUGUUUUUUAGAGUUCAUGAAAAAAAAAAACCUGAGAUAUACAAAUAUAGAACAAAUUAAUCAAGAAAGAUAUGAAUUUUUUUUCUUUCUAAGUAUAUACCAAGUGUAUAGCUUCAACCAUAUAUAGUAUCUUCAAAGCUUAGAAAAUAACACUGUACAUGUCGUUUUUAAUGCAAAUGACCAUGGGAGAGAAUACAAAACAUUAUAUUUUCUGGUCCGAUCAUAUUGAAAUUUAUGUUAUUCAAACUCUUCAUUUUGCUUGAAAGAUUAGUGGUCGAUACAUGUUUGAACAUUGGUUCAGAAUAAGACUUUUGAGAUUUCUUGUAAUAUAUGAAAAUUUUAGAAAAAUAAUUAAACAAAUCAAAGUUAGAUGUGAUCCCAAAUGCAACACUCGAACCUAAAUAAUGACUUUUUAUUAGGUCUACAAAAGAAAUGUAAUGUAUGAGGAAAGACAUUAUAUUGUGAUGAGAUUUAUAAAUGAGUAAUGUAUCGGCACAAUUUUGAAUAUAAUUACAUGAGAAAAAUUAAAAAAAAAUUAACAUACCUAUAUUGAACUGUAGGAAAUUGAACAAUAUUUGGAGAAAUAAAACAAAGAAAAUGAUAAAGAAUAUAAUAAAAAGAGAAAUAAUUUUUGUAUAUGGAAGAAAUAAAAUUCCUUCUAAUAAACUUUUUAUUUCAAUCACUCUACAAAAAUUCUUCAUCACAUACAACUCUUUAUAUAGGAGUUGUAAGUGACUAUUCAUCUAUAUCACUAAAUGCUAGGAGUUGUGACUAUUCAUUUACAUAACUUAAAUACUAUAAGAGUUAUGACUAUCCAUGCAUGUGUGUAACUUUUCAUAUUCAAGUCUCUUCACUCUUCAUAAUGUGUGUAACUUUUCAUCUUCAAGUCUCUUCACUCUUCAUAUUCAAGUCUCUUCACUCUUCUAACUUUUCAUAAUUUAUUUGUACAAGAUUAAUUUAAUUAUGUGCCAACAAUGCCUCCCUUAAAUUAAACUUGCUUCGAACUCCCAACCUUUCAACAUUUUUCUUGAAGACUUGUCCACUAAGCGGCUUUGUGAAGAUAUCAACCAUCUGAUCUUCUGUCUUGCAAUAUUCAACUUGAAUAUCACCAUUAUUCACUAGUUCCCUCAAGAAGUGAUACCGAAUGCGAAUGUGUUUUGUCCUUCUAUGAAGAACUGGAUCUUUUGUGACCGAAAUAGUAGAACUAUUGUCACAAAACAAAAUCGUUGACUUGCUCUGCUUCUGCUUAAGACUCUCCAAAAUUCCACGUAACCAAAUCAAUUGACAUCCUGCAUAAGAUGCAGCGAUAUAUUCAGCUUCUAUAGUCGAAAGCGCCACAACUGAUUGUUUCUUUGAACUCCAUGAAACUGCACCACUACCAAGGUGAUAAACAUAACCAGAAGUGCUUCUUCUAUCAUCAAUGCUUCCUGCUAAAUCACUAUCCGUAUAACCAAUGAGAUUAACUAAUGUAUUAGCUUUAUAGAAAAUUCCAUAAUCAAUGGUUCCCUUCACAUAUCUCAAUAUUCUCUUGGCAGCCUCCUAGUGAUUGGAGUAAGGUUUCUCUAUGAAUUUACUCACCAAGCUAACAGCAGACACGAUGUCAGGCCUUGUCGAAGUCAGAUACAUCAACUUCCCAACCAAACUUCUGAAUAUGGUGGAAUUGAUAAGCUUUCCUUCACCCUCUUUAGAUAACUUCAGACCUAUAAUGCAUGGAGUAGACACUGGAUUCGCAUUUUCCAUCAUGAACUUUUUAGAACUUCCUUUGCGUAGCUCUCUUGUGAGAUAAAAAUUCAUUUCUCGGAUUGAUGAACUUCAAUGCCUAGAAAAUGAUGAAGUUCUCCCAAAUCUGUCAUCUUAAAUUCUGCCAUCAUUGAGUGUCGAAAUUCUUUCAACAUCUUCACAUGAUUUCCUGUGAAAAUAAGAUCAUCAACGUAGAGACUUACAACCAUGAAUCUUCCUUGAGAAUUUCCUUUGAUGUAGAGAGUAUGCUCAUAUGCAGAUUUCUGGAAUCCACACUUUUGAAAAUAAGAAUCGAUGCGGCUGUACCAAGCUCGGGGUGAUUGCUUCAACCCGUACAAAGCUUUCUUCAACUUGUAAACUUUUUUUUCUUCUCCUUUUUUGACAAACCCUGGUGGUUGAUCAACAUAGACUUCUUCUUUGAGAACACCAUUCAAAAACGCAGAUUUUACGUCCAUUUGGAACAUUUUCCAAUUGUUUUGGGCAGGAAGAGAAAUAAGUAACUGAACUGUCUCAAGUCUUGAAACUGGAGCAAAUACAUCUGUAAAAUCUUCCCCUUCCUUUUGCUUGUAUCCUUUUGCAACCAGUCUUGCCUUGUACUUGUUGAUAGAGCCAUUCAGAUUCAUCUUUGUCUUGUACACCCAUUUGACUCCAAUUGAAUUCUUGUGCGGCGGUAAAUCUGUGAGUUCCCGUGUAUCAUUGUUUUCAAUUGAGCAAAUCUCUUCUUUCAUGGCUUUCCUUCAUAUUUCUUCUUGAUAUGCACCAUCAAAAGAAAUUGGAUCUUCUCUUACAAAGAAAGCAAAGAAUACAUCAUUUUGCACAACUUCAUCCGUUACAUCAUAUAACUCUUGGAUGAAGAAGAAUUUGAUGAAGAACUUGAGGAAGCAGGAGGAUUUCCUACUUGAGCAUCAUCUUCAGCAUUCUCAAUUACUUCCUCUUCUUCUUCUUCAAGUUUAAAAGGAAAAAUUGGCAAAUUUUCCUUUUCAACUUCCAUAUCUUCAAACAUGGAAUUUUCAUCAAACUGAACAUCUCGGCUUAUCACAAUCUUCUUUGUCACCGGAUUGUACAACUUGUAUGCCUUACUUCUUUCACUAUAGCCAAUGAAAAUGCAUUUCUCUGACUUGUCAUCCAACUUGCUUCUCAUUGCAUCUGGAAUAUGAGAGUAAGCAACACUCCCAAAUACUCUAAGAUGACUAACACUAGGCUUUAUACCAUACCACGCCUCAUGUGGUGUGCAAUUCUCCAAGCUUCUUGUCGGUGAUCUGUUUAUAAGAUAAACUGCACAGGAAACAGCUUCAGCCUAAAAUCUUCUUGAUAACCUCUUCUUCUUAAGAAGACACCUAGCCAUUUCUAUAAUUGUUCUGUUCUUGCUUUCACACACACCAUUUUGCUGAGGUGUGUGGCGGACUGUCAUUUCAUGCCGGAUGCCACUAUCUCGGCAAUAUUUCUCAAAUUCUUUUGAAAAAUAUUCACCUCCACGAUCUGUCCGUAAGGUGUUAAUUUUCAGCCCAGUAAAGUUCUCCACUUCUGCCUUGAAAUCUUUGAAUCUCUGAAAAGCCUCUGAUUUUUCUUUGACACAAUACACCCAUAACUUUCUUGAGUAAUCAUCAAUGAAAGAGAUAAAGUAACGAUUACCUCCCAAAGAUGAAACUGUCAUUGGACCACAAAGAUCCGAGUGAAUAAGUUGCAAUGGUCUUCUUGCUUUCCACGAGGAUUGAGAAGGAAAAGCAAUUUUGUGUUGUAUUCCAAGUUGACAUGCUUCACAAACAUUAUCAAGCCGAUCGAUUUUUGGUAAACCUCUGACCAUCAUCUUCCUUGAAAGCAUCUCCAAAUUUCCAUAGUUCAAAUAUCCAUAUCUAUCAUGCCAUAACUUUGAAAUUCCUUUAUGAGCACCAAUAAAGCAAGACAUAUUCUGAUUUUGAAGGGUGAGAGAGAAAAGAUUAUUUGAUGCCACUCCAACUCUAGUAACAACCUAAUUUUUCUUUGACAAAUGGCAAGCCAUGUCACGGAAAUGAAUAUCAUACCCCUUCUUCAAGAGAUACCCAACACUAAGCAGAUUAUUUUUAAGACCAGGAACAAAAUAAACUUCAGACAUUUUCUCUACCAUUCCUUGCUUUGUUUUGAACUCCAACUCACCAACACCGCUAACUUUGUAAGCUUUGCCAUCUCCUACUUUUACUUCUCCACAAUCAGAUUCAAAUAACUUCGAAAAUAAAUUUUUGUUACCUAUCAUAUGCUUGCUAGCACCACUGUCUAUGUACCAGACAUCAUCAAUCUCUCCACCAUGAGAUACGAGUAGCAAAGUUUCUUGCUUUUGCUCUUGAUUAUUUUGUACUAUAUUAGCUUCAUUUUUUUCUUCUUUCUUGUACCAGCAUUCACUUGUCAAAUGACCAGGUUUGCGACAAUGAUAACAUUCAAAAUAGCCACGACCUCUUUCUCUUUGAUUUCCACGUCCAUGUCCUCUUUGUGAUCCUCUAACAUUUUGACUUUGGUUGGCUUCUUUCCAUCCAUUUUCCGUGCUUGCAUCUUCACCUCUUUCACGAGCAUUUGAGCCUCUUCCUCUAAAAUUUCUUCCUCUUCCAUGACCACGAUCUCUCCCUCUUUGAUUUUUAAAAUCUCCCUUCUUCUCAUUUAGAGACAACUUUGACUGGAGUGCUUGAUCUAGAUCUACUUCCUUUUUCUUCUUGUUUAAUCUUUCUUCAUGGGCUUGCAACGAACCUGUGAGUUCAUCAAUAGUCAUGGUACUCAAGUCCUUUGAUUCUUCAAUGGCUACCACAAUGUAGUCAAAUCUGGAAUCUAAAGAACGGAGGAUUUUCUCAACACCACGAAUAUCAUCCAUAGUUUCACCAUUUCUUUUUAAUUGGUUGACUAUGGACAAAACCCAUGAACAGUAAUCAGAAACUGAUUCUGACUCUGUUUUUUGCAAUCUUUCAAACUCCCCUCGAAGAGUUUGCAACCGAACUCUUUUCACCUUUUCAUCUCCUUUGAAUGAAUUUUGUAAAAAUUCCCAUGCUUGUUUUGCCGUGGUGGCACAAGCUAUUUUUUCCCAAGUCGCCAUAUGAUUGAACUCCUUGAUAUAUCCAAAAUAAGGCUUGCUGAUUUUUCUUCCUUGAUUUUCUUAGACUCUCUUUUUGAACUUGUGUUAAUCCUUCCUCCACUUCAGCCUCAACUUCAUUAUAACAUUUUUCAACAAUCUCCCAAACUUCUAGAGAUCCAAGAAGAGCCUUCAUUUGGAUACUCCAUUUGCCAUAAUUUUCUUUGGUUAAUUGGGGAACGGAAGAAAGAGGAAUAGAAUUGUUCAUUUCGAUCGAACAAGGCUCUGAUAUCAAUUUGUAGAAAAUUGAACAAUAUUUGGAGAAAUAAAACAAAGAAAAUGAUAAAGAAUAUAAUGAAAAGAGAAAUAAUUUUUGUAUAUGAAGAAAUAAAAUUCCUUCUAAUAAACUUUUUAUUUCAAUCACUCUACAAAAAUUCUUCAUCACAUACAACUCUUUAUAUAGGAGUUGUAAGUGACUAUUCAUCUAUAUCACUAAAUGCUAGGAGUUGUGACUAAUCAUUUAUAUAUCUUAAAUACUAUAAGAGUUAUGACUAUCCAUGCAUGUGUGUAACUUUUCAAAUUCAAGUCUCUUCACUCUUCAUAAUGUGUAUAACUUUUCAUCUUAAGUCUCUUCACUCUUCAUAUUCAAGUCUCUUCACUCUUCUAACUUUUCAUAAUUUAUUUGUACAAGAUUAAUUUAAUUAUGUGCCAACAUGAACAUGAAUCCGUAUCUAACACUUAAACCCAAAUCCAAAUGAAAUAGUUUAUGGCUUUUUUAUGUCCAAAAACAACUCUAGUGCACGAGGACGGACAUAAUAAUAAUGUGAUGAUUUGUAAAUGGUAAAUGUUCCAAGAAAUAAUGAUGCUGUUACUGUACAUACUAUAUUAUUAACGAACAUCCCAUCAGGUUGUUUACUUUGUUCAACUCAAGAAAAACCAAGUUAAAUUGGACAUUUACUCAGUAAUUAGAUUUGUAAACAUUAGCGCACCUGUAGUUGUUUAUCUAUAUGAUUUAGCUCCUUUUUUACUUCGAGCAAUUUCUCCUUUGCGUCAACUUCCUUUAAAAGGCCUGCCUUGAACUCGGCCAGUAUUUUCUUCAUAUUCUCCUUUAUUUCUUGGAGAUAAGGUAGCAGUGGCCAUUUCUCUUCGAUUUGCCUGACAGUUGCUGAAACUUCUGGAUAGUUAGGUAGCUGAUCCCAAUGUUUUUCCUUCACCUUCAUGUCACCAAAUAAGUAGUACAAAACAAGUGUGAUAAGGAACAGAUAGAAAAAAUCUUUCUCCUGGUUUUUUGCUCCAGUGAGAAUGUAAGAUUUAUUAUCUAUAUAUAAUAAAAAUAACAAAAAUGUAAAUUGAAUAUGAAUGGCUAGGUUGAAUUAAGAGAAUUUACUCUAGUCAUCCUUCUAUUGAUUUGGUCAUUUAAGGUUUUCCCACUUUGCUCUACAGAUUUCACCAUAAUAAGCACUUCCAAACUCUCUUCUCCUACAUUUGGUGAUUCACGGUUUAGCUGGAGCUGGCUCGGUAUGCCUUCUCCUAUAGCUUCCCGAUUUCUUUUCUUUCGUCCAGUCAACAUUGAUCUUGACGGAUUUACCUGAUUAUUAUCUGGUGAUGCAUUAUUUGAUGCUCCAGGUGUAGGUGACAUAGCGAUAUUCAGAUGCCUGCUGUUCAUAAUAUUUCAACUCAUAUCAAAUUUCUGAAUCUAAAACAAUCAAAGUUUUUGCUAAUUCAGAACAAAAAUAGAAACAAGCAAGCAAGUGAAUCGAAGUUUUCUUUCAAAGAAAGGAAAUGAAAAUCAUAAACUAACAAAACUUACAAUAAUAAAUAUGAAAUUAUAGGUUCAGCAAAAACCAAAGCAAAUAAAUGUACGGAAACUGAGGAAAAAUGAAUGAAUUAAAUUGGUAUAGCAACUUACUGCGCCUUCGAUGCUGCUGUGCUCAUAUGCUGUUGUUUUCGGUCUCUAAGCUUGUUGUUAAGUCUUCAGUGAUGUAAUUUGGAUUACUUAUCUUCAGUGAUGUAAUUUGGAUUACUUAUCUAAAUAAAAUUACGUUUUUACCCUUACAUAUAAAAAGAAGUUUCUGUAUACAUGAAGGGUUUAAAAUGUAAGUUUAUACCACAAAGAGGAACUUGAGCAGUGAAGCGUAAAGUAUUGGAAACAUAAAGGUGAAAUUACACUUUAAUCUCUUUAAAAAUAUACAAAUUUAAUUUAAUUUUAAAAAUUAUAAAUAUAUAAAUUAUGAUAAAAUUGUAUUUGUAUUAUCGUGCAAAUUACAAUUUAAUUUCGAAUUCUUAAAGGAAAUUUUGGUUUCUGGUUUAACCCUAAAGCUUUUUAUUACGUAUUACGUAUUAAUAAUUUCCCUUCAAUGCAGGUUUCUUUAAUUACUUGAGCAAAAUUUUAUUUCUUGUUUGAAUUUUGGUGUGGCUGGCUUGCUUGUUAGUUAGUGUUUUUGAUUGUUUUACAUUUCCCUUUAUCCGUUCAAGAUGAACUACGUUGACAUUCGAAGCAGAGUAGGUGCGAACCAACCGCGGUUGCUAGCUGACGUCAUCGAGCUUGAUAUCUAUCACAGGCCCUAAUAGAGAGGUUAAUAUAUGGGAGGUGAAAAAUGUGAGGCAUGGUGUAUAUCUUGAUCAUUGAUAUUAAGCAACAAAACAUUUCUCAUUCUUAAGCUUUCCCUAUAUCUUGAUCGUUUGUUCAUGUUUCUCUUACAUUUUAGAAAUUCAGUACGGAGACUCUAAAAAAAAGUACAUAUUUGUGUAUAUAUAAAAAUAUAUGAUACUACUUUUCUUAUCUUUGUGAUGUAUAAGCUUAGUGUACAAUUUAAUUAUGAUCCUAAUAGGUAUGAACAUCAAACAAAAUUUGAAUAGAAUAAUAACUUAUUUAAUAAGUAAUUUAAAUAAUUUAAGGGUAAACUAUCAAAAUAGUCACUUAUGUUUGAAAUGUUACAUUUUAGUCACUUGCGUUAUGGUGUGGUAACAUUUUAGUCACUGAGCGUUAAUUGUCGUUAACGGUGUAACGUAAGUUGACUUGGCACGUUAAAUCAUCAUUUCAAACUAAAAUUUUAGGUUAAAUUAUCAAUUGGACCUUAUACUUUUUUUUGUUUUGAGCAAUUUUUUUUUUCUUUUACGUUAAAAGAGAUGAAGAAGGGAGGAAAAUAAAGGGAGAAGUAGAAUAGAAUGGAGAAUAAAUAAUAAAAAAAGUUAAAAGAACAUAAAAGAAAAAAAUAAAUUGCUCAAAAAGAAGAUUAUUUUGAUUAUUUUGUAAUUUGUGUUGAGAGAGGCUAAUUUGCUCACUUUCAAAGUUGUCAGGGACCAAAGGGAAUUACACCAAUCUAUUAUUUGAAUGAUUCGAAUUAUGAAAUUCAACUCGACUCAAACUCGAAACUCAAGUUAAAAAACAUUUAAAAAAAUUAAAUUGCUCAAAACUAAAAAAUAUGGGGAUCAAUUGUAUAAUUUAAUUUAAAAUUUUUGUUUGAACUAACAAUUUAAUGUGCCACGUCAACUUACCGUUACACCAUUAGCGAUAAUUAAUAGCCCAGUAACUAAAAUACUACAACGUGAUAACGUACAAAAGUGACUAUUUUAAUAGUUUAUUUUUUUUCUUAUUAAACAUUGAAAUAUAUUUGGGCUAAUGUCUUAUUAUCUAAUUAAAACCCAAAUAUGGCUCAGACCAAAGCACAUAAACCGUCAGCCCAUACAAGUGUGCCCAUAAACCCUAGCUUCUUCCUCUUCUCUUUUCCUCAGCCGCACAGCUUAAUUUUUUAUUCUUUUCCUGUGCUUUUCUUUUGAUCGGCCACCACCACUUCUUCUUCAAAAGCCAAUAGCGGUGUCCUUAUCGGCAUCGUGUCGAAACUGGUGUGGCCGCCGUUCAGGCGAGUACGAGCAUCAUAGAAUUAUAGUCGAAGUCAAGGUUAGCAAUAAUCGUAUCAUUUUCAUGUCUGUCUUUUAGUUUAUUAUAAACACAUAUCAUGUCGAAAGGAAUGAAAAUAGUGGUAUAAAAUUUUGUACAGAUAGCUGAAAAGUGAAAAAAUGAACAAGAAGGAGAUAUUAAAGUUGGCCAAGGGAUUCAGGGGAAGGGCAAAGAACUGUAUACGGAUAGCAAGAGAACGGGUUGAGAAGGCCUUGCAGUAUUCCUAUAGAGAUCGCAGAAACAAGAAGCGUGACAUGCGUUCUUUAUGGAUUCAACGCAUCAAUGCUGGCACUCGUCAACAUGGGGUAAUCUCUCUUUUCCUCCCCUUGGCCGUUUUGAAUCUGAAAUUUCUAUUUGCUUACCGUAUUCCUCCUCUAAUUCAAACUUUCUUGAUGUUGCUAUUCCUUCAUUUUUUGAAUCAUCUUUUGUAAUGUCCUUCUGAAUCUUGUUAUGGUUUUGAUUUUAUUAGCUUUACUGAAAGAUAACUGAUAUAGGUUGUGACUUGUAGAUGCCAUUUUUGCACACCAACUAGUUAGUUCUUAUCAAUGAAUUAAAAACCGGAUUAGAGUUCAAACAACAAGUUAAACGGGAUUAUGCAAUUAAAAUAUAAGUUAAAUGUUAAUAAGAAUAUGUAUUUGGCUUAAUGAUAUGCUUUUUAAUAUAUCAUCUUGAGUUUAAAAGUUCAAAUCUUGAAAGAGAUUGGUUUUUUACCUGUCUUUUCCCGGUUCAUUGCUUCCUCAAUUCUUGGGGAUGUACCAGACCAGACAGGCCACCAGUUCCGGGUUUAAUUGAUCAGUCUGGUUUUUUCUUCACAUGGCAUGUGUGAUUUUUGCUUUUUCUUAUAGAUUCUAACAUCUUGAUCCAUUGUUUGAAGUUCACAAAGCUAGGAAUGGAAUUGAGCAUACUAUAUUGUAUUUAUAUCAUGUAACAGAAUGCAUAAAUAAGUGUUUUUUUUUUUCUUUUGGUGCCUAUGGUUUGGUGACAAUAAAAACACCAUGAUUAAUCAUAUAGGAUCAAAAUCUUAUAUAGUCAGUGUUCAAGUAGUUUACACAAGAAACCUGCAUUUGAUCGUUAAAGGAAUUCUAGUAGGUUGAGUUAAUAUUUUAUGAUUGUCAAUAAAGAUAUCUAAGCAUUUCAUUUAACAUAAUCUUUUGGAAUCUCUAUACUACCUUUUGGAGGUCUGUUAUAUCAAAAGAGGCCAGCAAUUGAAUUUUAUUAUUUAACCAUUUUUCUUUCCUCUCAUUGAUCAUUAUAAUAUUUGAAAACAAGAAAUAAGGUUCCCCUGACCAAGACAUAGUAGACCUUUUUGUAUAUAAUACAACUGCGGAAAUAAGUUUGUAUUGGUGAAAUGAAUUUGGAAGUAAUCGCAACAACUCAGCUUAACUCUAGUUGUUUGGGGGUGUAGGGUUUGCGUAAAGAUAAUAGAUAGAUUAAUGCUUAUUAUGAUCAUAGAUUUGGUCUUCUUGUUUUUCUCAUGUUUGCCAUCUGGAAAAGACUGGAAAAGAAAAAGAGAAAUGAGUAAGUAAUAAUGAUUUCAUGAAUGGUUUUUUAAUUAUCACAUCUCCUUUCACACAUGCAAGUUAUAUUCUCUCCAAAAGUUUCGCUCGCUUAAUAUCAGCCAUAAUUACCUUUAUUUUUUAAUAUUCUUCCAUGGAUGCACUUGCUUCAUUUCAUCCAAUAUGCUCUCAUGAGAUUUCUUGGAUUAUUAAACUUUUGUUUUCUUGGAGUCUAAAUAUACCCCUCAUAAACUGCGUGUGGAAAGCUAAAACCAUUUACCAAUACUAGGCCAGCUUUAUUGUUGGUUUAUUUUCUGAUUAUCUAUUGAAUUUGAAGUUCCUUAUUUUGCUUGCCUUGCAUGAAUAGUGUGCUAUAUUUUGGGGGUAUGAGCUUGCUGCUGUAAGCAUGAUUGUUGGGCACCUUGGCCUGAUGUGUCAUUCAAAUGAUGCCUAUGCAUGUACUGCCUUGGUUGUUGACUAUGGACAUGUGCUGCUGAGUACAAUGCCCUUUUAUACCUGUUUCUUUGUUGUCACUCACGCUCAACCGUAUAUAAGUCAAAUUUAUAAGCCCAUAACUUUAUAGUAUAGAAAACUUAACCACAAAAUGCUACUCCUGCUCUUCACUUUUCCUAAAUUACCUUUUUCUGACACGUAGUCAGACAUUGUUCUUGGGGUAUGAUCCUUCAAAUGUGGGGAAUUUUUUAAAAAGAUUGUGCAUACCGGUAUCGAAUACAUACUUCUACCUGACCUCGCCUCCAAGCCCAGUAACAUAGACCAGAACUUUAUUUCUCUAUGGUACAUAAAUCUGUCAUUGCUGGAGUGUCAAGUCUUAACAUAUUAUUUGAUCUAUGAAGUUUUUUUUAAUAUCAGUAUGUAGUUAUUUUUUUGGGAUACUUUCAACCAUAAUUAUAAUUGUAUCCAAUGUGUUAUCUUUCUCUUAACAAAUACCAAAUUGAGUGCAUGAAUGCUAUACUUUUUUCUCACGUUUUAGUACAUGAGUUAGGAAUAAACUAAUUACAAUUGGUAAAUUUUAACUGCUCACAUGCAUUAAUGCUUUGGUUUUUUUUUUUUUUGUGAUUUGCUUUUGUUUACAGGUAAACUAUGGUAACUUCAUGCAUGGACUGAUGAAAGAGAACAUACAAUUGAACAGGAAAGUACUGUCUGAAAUAUCUAUGCAUGAACCAUACAGUUUUAAGGCUCUCGUAGACAUUUCCCGGAAUGCCUUCCCUGGAAAUAAAAAUGUUGUGCUCCCUACAAGAAAAGCAGAUAUUUCAAUCAAUGUAUAAUUACUUGUGUUUGGUGUCUUUAGUAAUGACUCUUUCUUUAACACUUAAUGUCAACUGAACAUUUUGGGAAAUAAGAGAGGAUUAUUGCUUUUCCUGAGUUGUUUCUUCUGCUUCUCUGUUUUCUUGUUUAAUCAUUUCGAAACGGGUUUUUCAUAUAUUCAAAGAAGGGUCAUGUUUGAAUGUGUCGGAUACUAAUGUUAGACAAAAUCGAAGUUUAUUGGGAAAAUUUUGACAAGAAACCUACUUUUCAGCAGCAUGAUAAAAAGUAUAUGAAUAAGUGCAGUUGAGGGAGAUAAAAAGGACAUCUGCAUCCUGAUUUUUAUAGUUUAAAUUCUUUGCCUCAUUGAUAUUUUGAGUACACAGAUGCCAUUUCUUACAUCCCUAGACAUUGUGGAUAUGUUACAUGAUGCUAUGCAAUCAGACUAUUAUCUAAUCUAACUGAUAUUUUUUGUGAGUGAGGUCUUCACCUAAACUUCUCUUUUAACCAUUGGUGUGGAUUCAAUUGAGGUUUAUGUUUACAUAUUAAAUUAUUUGAAUUACAUUAUAUAGUUCUAAUUAAUAUUGUCAAAGAUCUUUCGUUAAAUUAGAUGAUGUGAUUUUUUUUAAUCAAAAAAAAUUGUUCACGUGAUCAAUAUUAUAAGCAUGGAAGGUCAAGCAAAAAAAAUGUUAAGUUGGUGUCAUAAGGUUUUCGACUGAGUGUUGGAAGAUUUUUCAGCACUAUUACAAAGAAGUGAAGGUAGAUACAUUAUCCUUGCUUACAUGGUUUUUACGUAGCUUUAAAUUGGCCACAUGAACAACUUUUAUUUUGAAAACGAUAUAUAAUCCAAUUUAACAUAAGUUUUUUGACAGUUUUUUCAGUUGUUAAAUAAUAUAUAUAUAUAUAUAUAUAUAUAGACUGAAAUGAGGAACUCAAUUUCAAAAGUCUACUCUCUGUAUACGAAAUCAAGGAUGUAUCUAGAGAAAGAAAGCUAACGUUUGCUAGCAAAUACUUAAAAAGAACAAUGAAAGUUCUUUAGUAAGCUUAAGAAAGGUAAAGAUUUUAGCCACACCAAUUUGAUUUCAAUUUUUAAUAAUUCAUACAGGUAAACUAUAUGAUAAAGCAUCGGAUAAAUACUUUUAUUAGACUUAAAAACCAAAUGCAUAAAGUAAGUAGUUUUCUUCUAAUUUAAAUUUAAAAAGUAAAAAAAUUAACAUUGUUGAGUAUUUUCUAUAUGUCCUUCAAAUGUGGUCUACCUAUUUAUACGAUAGGAUACUGUUCAUCGAUAGAUAGACUCUAUGCACGUAAGACAUGUUCCCUAUUCUAGCCUAAACAUGCGUCUUCAUGGUUCCGAGCUCAUGCAAAUGCAGCUUCGCAAUAUUGAACCUUGUAAUUUAGAGACCAAGUCUGAUUGGUCAACUUGCGUACUUACCUUGCGAGCUUAGUACUUGGAUCAAGCCUACGAACUCAUUAGGGUUUGACCCAGGCACAAACUUGAGAAGGGUGUGGGCCAAUAAUGAUAAUUAUCCUAACAAUUCUUAAUCUAACAAAUAAAGUUUUUGAAUGGAUGAUAUACAUGAGCUAUGAUGAACUUCCAUGUUGGCUACUAUCUAUUAGUGGAUUUGAUUGGGUUUGCUCUACUCAUUCCUGAUGUGCAAGUUUUGCAGUCUCAAUCUCUGAAGUUUGCUACCGUAGAUGUUGUGAUAUUAAUUGCCAUUUGCCAUUCUAUUUGGGGGACAUCAGCAGUAUUAAAGCAAAGAACUGGUUACUGUUAAAUUUUCCCUCUAGCCUGCACAAAAGUUGGUUCCAAGUUCUUAGCUCUCUUCCUUUUCAAAAGGAAUCAUUGAAUAAUAACUAGACUCUCAGCUGUCUAUUGGAAAUUGAUUAAAAAAAAAAUACCAAUCUAGUGAAAAAUUUGAGACUUCCCAUAUCUAGUAUCAGUGAGAGCAGAAUGUAUUCAGUAUUACAGUGGAUAAAGCUACCAUAAAGUCAGGUCCCACAUCGCACCGGAAAAGCAAGCAGCAGCUUCUCCUCGUAUUUAUAAAGCAACUUGUAGAUUGAUUGCAUUUCACGGAGCCGUGUGAUGAGCACAGAGCGAACUAUUCUUUCGCCUUUUACUAAAGAAUACCGUGUGCUCGUCACUAUAAGCGGCAUACGCCAAUUUUUGGAAGGGUAUUCCUAGUUGAAUGCCCCCAUUCCAGUACUAGUGCUAAAGGUUUCUUUAUUCUAGGAACAAGCUUGUGCCCUUUAGAUAUGUUUUGGUACUAAAUAAAAUGUUGAGAAGCUUUUAAGUUAACAAGCGAAUAUCUGAAGUGUACUUCCCGAAGAUGUCUUUUGUCAUCUCUCCCUGUCCUCGUCUGUAAUUCUUUAUAUCUACAUUGUUAAAGCCAACUCAAGGAACAACCAUUUUUUUAUAAUGCCACUGUCAUGUUAUUGAUUGGGAAAGAAAGGUGUAGGAAGUGUUGGGUGAGUGAAUAAACAAUGUGCCAAAGUAUUAAUAAGAAAGGAUACGAGAUUCCCACUUUGGAGCUUCUCCCUGGAUAGGGCGGACUCCCUGCUCUUCGCGCAUCAAAUUUACUUUUACCAGCAAUGAAUUCCAUCAUUCUUCAUCAUCACUACAUCAAAGCAGUAAGUGUUGUUUCAGUUCACUUUCUGUACACUUCUUGCUUUGAUUUUUGCUAAAUUUAGAAUUUCAUAUCCGUUUUCUUUAAUUACUUGAGUUUUGUUAGUUGAUAAUUUUGUUUGAAAAGAACAUUUCAAGAAUUAGUAAAUGGAUCUUCAUAUAUUUGUUUGUGAAUUUUGUUAAUUGGCUUAAUCUUCUUUGUUCAUUGUUAAGAACCCCCUCCACGCUUGUUCCUCUGUUUUUGUACGUAAUGAUGAGUUAAUUUCCUUAUUUUGUUCUUAUACUAUUCAUAAUUUCUCAUGUGUUAAUAGCAUGCUUGGAUACCUUCUAAUGUUUUGUUAUUGGGGCAUCCUUAAUUGUUGGACUGGUUGCAUAUUUUUGAAGGUUAGACAUAGAGCUGCUAAUCUUAUACAGCCUCUCACUCAUCUCUUUUAAGAAAAUCAGUAGUUUGUUUCUCUCCUUAUCUCCCUGCUUAGAUCACAUUUUUCAUUGGUUCUCGACUAGCUUUUAAGAAAAUCAAUAUUUUUGAUGAGUUAUUCAUUAUCUGUAGGCUAACAUAGGAUAUUCCCUGGGACUACAAUAAAAUUGCUGAUUGUAUUGUUAGAAUGGCAUUUGAUACGGAACAUAGCUUAAAGGUGUUCACAGAAAUUUCAAGAAAGGUGAUAGCUAUUUCUGUUGUUGUUCAGGGAAGAGAUAGUCUUGCUCUUAGCUUAUCUGCCAGCUUGUUUUUGCUUUAAAAAAAAAAAUAAUUGUCGUUCCAUAAAUAAAAUUUUACCUAAAAUAACAAAAUAACAAAAAUUUACCUAAAAUAACAAAAUAACAAAAAUUUACCUAAAAUAACAAAAUUUUUAACUUAAAUAGCAUUAAUUGUCGUUCCAUAAACAAGUUAUUACCAAUUUUUAACAUGUAUAUUGUAUUCAAAUAUGAAAUAAUAAUAAAAAUUAUGUUCAAUAUGUGGUAAAUAAGGUAAUCAAAUAUGCCUUAAUAAGGUAAUCAAAUAUGCCUUCAUAAGGUAUUGUUAUUUUUUAAUAAAAAAAUUUAUAAUUUUAUAAUGUUUUUAUAAUGUUUUUAUAAUUUUUAAUAAUUUAAAAUUUUAAAAGUGCUUAAUUUUUAUAAUUUUAAUUUUGGUAGUAAUGCCUUUUUGACUCUUUAGUCUUAUUGGUUUAAAAAAAUUUAAUUUACUUCCGAAAAAAGAGUAGGGGUCAAAUUAAAUAAAUGUGUAAACAUUAAGGACUAAAUUUAUUAUUUUAUCAUAUAUAAACUUUUAAUAAAGAGACUGUUUUGCUCACUCACUCAUGUAAUAUGUAGGGACUAAUUUAAGCAAAAUCUAUCAAAUAAUACGAUUUUUUAUUACCUUCUUAUUUAAUUAUUAUAGUUCCACGUGUCAAUAGAAUAUGUUACUAAAUGUCAAAUUAUUAGAGUGUGAAAAUGUUGCUUCUUACCAUUUACAAAGAACCUUGUAGAUUAUAUAUACAUAUGAUAGGAUAUCAUAGUGGAAAAAAUGACUUUUUUUUGCUAUGUCCAAUAACAACUCUAGUGCAAUAUGAUUUAUAAAUUAAAAAAUUAUUUUAUUUAAUAAAUAAUAAUUAUAUUAUGUUAAUUAAAACCAACAUGCAUUUGAACAAAGUUAGAGAGUUAAAUUAGAGAUUUAAAUCAUGAAAGUAAACUAAGUAAUUAAAUUGGUAAAAAAUAUGUCUUUAUUUGUGUAAUAUUGGUACGUACAAUACAAGAUAAAUUAAGAACAAUAUUUUGCUGUGACAUGCUAAAAGGCAAUCAAUCCAAAUUCAUUUCACGUAAUAUUGGUAUAUACGAUACAAAAUAAAUUUAAAGUAAUAUUUUUGCUGAGAGAGAAUUUUAAAUGAAAAAUUCCUUAUAACCAUUAAAAUCAUUAGUACACAAAUCUUGCACAUAUCUAAAAAUAUCUAUAAAUAUAUUCAGACAAUAAUAUUAUCUUUAAAAUCCGAAUCUACGUUCCAUUCCUUUAAAAUGAACCAAAUACUUUAUUUUUUUUUUCAAAAGCAAACCUUUUUUGACUUCCUAAUUCCCAAAUAACAUGGUCCUACAUCAAUGCUCCCAAAAAGCCUUUCUAAUAUAUAUUCACCAACAAAUUUUCUAGUCCCAACUACUUUAUAGCCAAUGAAGAUUGAACCAACCAAAAUGAUAUCAUUAUGAAAAUCAUACAAAUCAUACACAAGAAUAACAAAAGAACAGACAUUACAUAACAAAAAAAACAUCAUAAAAUACACAAAAACUGCUAUGGGGCAUCAAUUAACAAAAUAUUUUAUUAAGUUUUUGACAUAAGGCUACCAAUAUUCAAACAUUUGUAUCUAUUAAAUCAUUUAACACUUAUAUUACUAUAGAUUAUUAUCCGAUACAUUAAUAACGACGGUUUUUAAUUUCACAAAUAGAUUUAAAAUUUUCAUUCAUUCAUUUAAAUUUUUAAAUAUUAAUUAAUCAUAUCGACUAUUUUAUAAAAUUAAAAAAUCUCACCGCCAAUGUAUCAAACAAAAUCUUAGAUUCAUUGUGGAUAACUCUAAACCCUAAAACUAUUCAAUUAGAUUAAUAUAUCUCAUAAUUGGGAUUUUUUUUUUUGGCUGCUUCUUUUUUCUAUAAAAAAACAAUCAAAUAUACAUCCCUAAAAUUCCUUCAAUUUUCUAACAGAUUAAAAGGUAAGGAAAAAAGAAACAGAAGCCAACCCCAUCAUCACUCCAUGGAAGAAGACGGCUUAGGUGGUAGUGUAGAAGACGAUGAAUCUUGGUGGGGUGGAAAAAUAAUCUGAAUAAUCUCUUUAUCUUCCACAAUUUUCUUGGAUUCAUUCACGUCUGUUGAGAAAGAACCUUUACGUUUCUUAGGAGCAGGAGGACAAGACAAGAGUUCAGGGAUCCGAUGUUCUUCAGAAGUUGGAGUCCGACAAAUUUCAGGGUCGAAAAGUGAAUCAUCAGCUGGUGGUGGUGUCUUUGCUUCGACAUUAACAGUUAACUUUGAAAAGUUGUCAACUAGACAUUGUUGCAUGGCUUCUUAUUGGGAAUUUUUACACAGAAUUGAUGAGGGUGGCAAUGGUAAAAAGGGUAGGAAUUUAAGGAAUGGAAAUUUUAAUUUUAGGGCAUGAAAGAAUAAAUAAGACAAAAAAACCAAAAUGGAAACAAGGAAUAAGGGAUAAAAGUGGGGUCGGGCCAUUAUUUUUAGAGUUUGACUUUUAUUUUUUAUUUUUUAAGUUAAAAAUAUGUUCCUUGUCUUUUCUAUUUAUUUAAUUCAUUUAUUUUCUCAAAUUUGUCACCUCAUAAUAUUAAUUUCUUUUAUUAUAUCGUAAUUAAGUUUUUUUAUUUCUAAAAUGAUUUAAUAUAUAAUUGUAUUUCGUAUAAUUUCGUCUCAUUAAGUCAUAAGGUUAUAUUUUAUAUUAACAAAGUAUUUUUUAAUUAUUAAUUAUAUAACAUUAAUAAUAUAAAUCUAAUAUUAAUGUGUGAUGGGCCUUAGGAGACUAAACUUAGAGGCCCAAUGUGGACUUUAAAGCCAAAUUUUAGAAUUAAUUGAUUUGACCCAUACCCAUAUAUAUUAGAUUAGUGACUUUCUUGUAUUUUGAUUUGUAUUUCUGGUAAGGUGCCGACACUGCCAAAAGAAAAAGAAAGGAGUUUGAUGUCAUAGAGUAAAAAAAUAAAAAUUAUCUUUACUCUCGGCUCCUUGCGUAAAAAAUCUCUCGGUAAAUAUUUUUGCAUAAAUUAUGUUAUUUAUUUAUUUGACUUUUUUUCCUAAUAUGUUAUUGUUUAAUAUUAUUACAACUUUCAAGUUUUUCAAUUAAAUUAUUGUCAACAAAUUAUUCGUCUUGUGCUAACUAUUCCUAUGUCUACUACAAUAACCAAACAAGCAUUUUCAACCAUAAAAAUUGUGGAGACAAAACUUCACAACAAAAUGGAGGAUAAUUUUCUUUCAACUAACUUGAUGGCAUACAUCGAAAAAGAGAUAACUCGAAAAUUUUCAACAAAUUCUAUUAUUGAUGAGUUCAAUCUUAUGAAAAAGCGGAGUGUGCAAUUUAAGAUGCCUAGUACCGAGAAAUACGACUAAGGAUAAGUUUUUUAAUUUAAUUUUUGGAAUUAUAAUGAUAUUUAUGAAACUUUUAGUAUAAUAUUAGUUAUUAUUUUUUGCAUAUCGAAAAGUAUUUGAGAAGAAUUUUCAACAGAUUCUAUCAUUGAUGAUUUAAAUUGAUUUAUUUGAUAAGAGAAUAAAAAGUAUCCGAGAAGAAUUGGUACUUUUUACGAAAAAAAUCAUUCAAAUUUAAAAAUUACUCCUCUUUGAAGUAAAAUCUUGAAUCUGUCCCUACUUGUAAGAGUAAGAAGGGGUUGUAAUAAUCAGAGCUAGCAACAUUCUUAAAUCACAAGGCAAUAAAAUAGAUAAUCUUACUCAGAGUCUUCUUGUGUAAUUAGCUUAGUUGUCAGCUUGUUUUCGCCUUUACAAAAAAAAGUAUCAAACUUUUACCUAAAAUAACAAUUUUUUUUAACUUAAAUAGCCUUAAUUGUCGUUCCAUAAAUAAGUUAUUACCAAUUCUUAACAUGUAUAUUGUAGUCAAAUAUGAAUUAAUUUUUGGUAAUUUUUUAACUCUUUUUUUUAUUAUCAAAAUAAUAAUAAUAAUAAUAAUAAUAAUAAUAUUAUUAUUAUUAUUAUUAUUAUUAUUAUUUUGCGGUAAAUAAGGUAAUCAAAUAUGUCUUAAUAAGGUAUUGUUAUUUUUUUAAUAAAAAUUUUAUAAUUUUAUAAUUUUUUUUUAUAAUUUUAUUAUGAGUUUUAUGAGUUUUUAAUAAUUUUAAAAUUUUAAAGUACUUAAUUUAUUUUUUAAAAUUUAGUGCUUUUGUUGGCUCUUUAGUCUUAUUAGUUUCAAAAAAAAUUAAUUUACUUCCAAUAAAAGAGGAGGGGUCAAAUUGAAUAAAUAUGUAAACGUUAAAAGACUAAAUUUGUUAUUAUACCAUAUAUAAACACCAAAGCAUACAUUUAAUGGUACAAUUUGAACACAGAGACUAUUUUACUCACUCAUAUAACUCGACUCGAAAUUUCUUGACUCGGUUCUAAAAAAUUCAAAUUGAGUUUGAUUGUUAAAAUAAAAUUCGUCAACUCGACUAACUCAAUUUUUUUUUACUCGAUUCGACUCGAUCGAAUAUUCACCCCUAACUACAAGCGUGGGAAGUUGGCAUUUUUCUUAAGAUUUAGCUGAUAGCGGCUGAAACUUGUGGGUAGUUAUGUAGCUAAUCUCAUUGUUUUUCCUUACACCUUCAUGUCGCCAAAUACACACACAAAGCAACUGUUAAAGGAACAGACAAAGAGAAUCUUUCUCAUGAUUUUUUUCUGAAUGACUAGGUUCAAUUAAGAUAAUUUACUCUAGUCAUCAUUUUGUUGAUUUGGCCAGUUAUUUGGUUUAAGUGACGCGUGUGGGAUCACCUUUAACCUUGAUAUGUUUAAUUAUUUUUCUAAGUUUUUCACAUAUUUUGAGAAACCUCAUAGGUCAUCUUCUAAACCAAUGUUCGAACAUAUAUCAACUACUAAUUCUUCAAUCAAAAUGAAUAGUUCAAGCGACAUAGAUUUCAGUAUGAUUAGAUCGAAAAACCUAAUGCUUUGGUAUUCUCUCCCAUGGUUGUUUGCAUUGAAAACAAUAUAGUGUUACUUUCUAUGCUUUGAAAAUACUAUGUAUGGCUGAAGCUAUAAACUUGGAAAGAAAAAAGUGCAUAUCUUUCCUGAUUACUUUGUUCUGUAUUUGUAUAUAUAUUACAUCUUCAUCAUUUGUUUAUGUUUUCCAUAUUUGUUAUUUUAGCUUUAUUUUGCAGUGUCAUGUAUCAAAGAAGUUGCUGCAACUGAUGAUCAUGAAUGUUUGGAAAACCAGAACACUAUUACUUAGGGAAAGUUUCAACAGUAUGGGAGUGAGUCGUUUGAAGCACAAUAUAGUGCGAACAGACUACCAUUUUCGCUCAAUGAUAACUAGAUGAGCUCGUUGAGUGGAAGCAAGAACAGAAAUGAGGAAUUGGUUAUCAUCAAAUUUUCAUAAGCUGGAGGACAAGGUACUGAAAUUAAUGAUGUUGUUAUUCCUAUUGAUCAACACCGUAGAAGUUUGCUUACUCGGGAGAAGUUACAACGUAAUUUUAGUUCCUUGAAAUCCCAACUUUUUAACAAGAAUAACAACAAAGUGGAUGUUGCAGAUUACCUUGCCUUAAAAAUAAGCACCAGAAGAAAAUGUUUGUAUUCUGGACAACCUCAAACAUAUAGCUGCACAAAUCCAAAAUGUUCGUGGAGAAGCUACUGAGUAAUUUCCAUGAAAAUAUUCAACUUCUUGUUUGUGCCUCAAUCCAAGGGAUGGAAGAGGUGACACCUAAGGAUUUCGACUGGGGCAUGUUGAAAAAAGUGGGCGGCUGAUGCUCAACAAGGCUAAGAACAUUGCUUUCUAGUGGGAUUUGCUAAUAAUCUAUUGUUGGGAACUUGAUGAGCCCGACACAUCUAUUAUAGAAGACCUAGGACCUACAAGUAGAGGUGCUCAUGGGCCUAAUAAUCUAUUGUUAGGAUUUUUUUCCUGGGCCUGGCUAGGACUUAGUCAGAAACUGUUGGAGAGGGUUGACCAAAGAAAAAAAAGUUUGCGAAAUCAAGUUAUGAGUGGAAGAGUAUGUUUUUGUUGCAGUUACCGUCGGAGAUGAGCUUCAAUUGAGUUGUCGUCCUGUACUUGGGCUUCUAAGGAUACUUUUGUUUGAACUCACAAUGGUUUGGUACUUGAACUCAGUCAAAGAAUUUGGGGUUUCUAUAGUUAUUUAUUUUUAGUUACAAAAGGAAGUUGAACUAUAAUGUUAUCGAUAACAAUAGACUAGUUACUUAACACUUAUUCAUUGACAUUACAUUUUGCACUGCCGAAGGAAGUUGUGAGAAAAUAAAAACUCGUUUGGCAACACCUUAUCGCCUUGUGUAUAGCAUCAGCAACCAUAUUCGUUGUUCGUGGUACAUGUUGAAUCUUCACUUGCCAAUCCCUCGUCAUCCAGCUGUGAACCUCCAAUGCCAAUCUCAACGAUCUCAUUACUUCGGCUCCAAGUAUUAGGUCUACUAUUGUUUUACUAUCACUCUCAAUUAGCAGCCAACGCACCCCCUUCUCCCAAGCCAUUUUCAACCCAUCAACAAUUGCUCGAAGUUCUGCCUAUAGUUACUUUUAUUUUAACUCGAUGUGGUUAUGGUAUUUUUUCCUCUAUAUCUCUAAAGCCUACGGUUUUUGUAUUUUAAAUUCAGUAUUUUGUUUGUCUUACCCUUUAGCUAUACAUUUAUCCAUCAUAAAUUAUAACUACCAUUAAAAUUGUAAUGAAAUUAAACAAAAAUAUGUGUACCAAAUCGAUGGAAGAAAUUAAAUUUUUAAUUACAAAAGUAAGAAAAAAUGUUUAGGUACUAAUGUGAAAAUGGUUAAUUCAAAGGCUAAAUGGAAAAAAAUUUAAAAUAUAUUUAGAAUGCACAACAGAAAUGGCUUUAGGACUGAAAAUACAUGUUUCGAAAAGUAAUGGGACUAGAAAUUAAUAAAUUAUAUAGAGGGAUUAAAUCCUUAAAAAAUUCAUUUAUAAUUUAUUUACGGAGGAAAUAAAAAUAGUAAAAAUUCUGCUGUUAAGUCUCUAUACUUUGUGAAAGUUGCUGCUUUAGUUUUUAUAUUUUAAUUUAAUUAAAUUUAGUCUUUAUACUUUUAAAAUUAGUUAAAUUUAGUCCCUGUACUUUUUAAUUUUAAAUUUUUAGUUUUGAACCAAACAGUAGAAGUUAAAUUUGUUUGGUUAAAAUCAAUUACUAGUCAUGUACUACGCGCAUAAUUGUAGAUUUAGUUUAUGGUCUUCAAUUGGAUCAUUCUAAGUCUCUAUAUUUGUUUCCAAAUUGAAAUUUUAGUUUUGAUGUAAAUAAGAGUCGUUAAUCCAUUAACUGGAUUUUGACAUUACACGUAUGAUAAUAUGUUUACCGCAUCGAAUUUUGGAAGUAAUUGAACUCGAUGAAUUUUACUGUUAUCAUUUGGUGAGUACUGAAAUUUUAAAAUUUUAAAAGAAUAAGUCAUAAAGUAAAGUGACUAAUAGCACAGUUGAACCUUGUUAUAUAUAAUAUAUUCAUUCUUCAAGGACUUGGCUACAGCACUUGCCUUAUUUCCGUUUCUGUAUUAGCUCUCCACUAAAGCUUUCGUUCAUCUUCCCUGACAGUGAGUAUUGCUGAAUUACUAAUUGAUUAUGAUAUCUUAACUUGAUUUUGCGGAGUUUUGUUUUUCAUUUGGAGAAAUCUCUUGCUUUAUAUCAUUUCGUUUUUGUUAGUUUAUAUCUGUAAUGUUUUUACCUGUUUUCAAUUUGAAUGUCACUAGAUCUGUGAAAGAUGAGUAGCGAUGACAGUUUGGACAAACUUAUAAAAGGAACGUUUGUUGAUCCCUCGCCGGAAAAUAGCCUGGAACUUAGAGAAGACCUUCGACAGCUUGGGAUUCCGGCAACUGAAGCGCAAAUUGGCGCGAACGUACCGCCGUUGCCGGGCGAUGAGAACCAGGUCAACUCGUUGAGCUUGAUGUCGAGUAGUAGAAUGAAAAGAAACCUGGAAUUUGUUUUCGAUAAUUUCUCGGGAGAUAAAGGAGAAGAAAAAGGGCAGCGCCGAGGAGGCUUUUAUAUCGGUGAAUCAUCAAAUCCGCAGCGACAACGAGGAGCGGGAAGUAAAGAAGAGGAUUUAUCUGAGCUGGAAAUGGCGAAAGCUUUCAAGGAUCGUAUUAACAGUCAGAUAAAGAUGGUAAUGUUUCUUAAUUGAAUUUAAAAAAUUAGUAUUAAAUACUCAUCACCGUUAGUAUAUGUUGAAGUUAGAUAAAUACUGCAUCCACCGCCAAGAACCCUGCUUUUAGCCUUCUGUAGAUGCCUUUUCUUUUCUAUACUAGGAAUCUGUUCUUACGAUGGGAAACAACAGUUUGGAUGAAGAAGAAGUAAAGAUAAAUUAAAAUUUUGUAUAUUAAAUCAAAAGAAAAUGGAUUUUUUUAAAUUAAAAAUCUCAUUCAUUUGUAUUAUGAAAAAUUGGCAUAGUUAACAUAUAAAUGACCGAUUUUUAAUAAUAAAAAUAAAUAAUAUUUCUAACAAAAGUACUAGUUUGUUCUUUAAUCUACUUUAAUCUAAUAUACAUAAAUUAAUUUACUCAAUUUUUAGUAAAAGGAAUGAAGUGCAAUCCAACUUUUAAUACAGAUAACUUUGUAAUACUUUUACCAAUAUUUUAGAGAGCAUCAUUGUUAAAUAAGUUUAAUUUUUACUCCUUUUUUUUUAAUACAAGUGCUUUGCUACCAAUUUCUUUAUUGAAUAAACACUUUUUUUGCUGAAAUGCUUUAAGUGAUUAUAACUUCUAUGUAACCACCAUUAUACUCAUUAUCUAUACAAUUUGCUUUCCAUUUUCCCAUGUUCAAGGAACCCUUUUAAUUUCACUACGCUGUUUAGCAUGUUCAUUCUUACUUUCUCAUUUUAAGAGUCCUUUAGUAACUUUUUGCCUAAAGCUUAUAUGGGUUUGAAUGUUUUGUUAGGGAACUUUUGGAUCUUGUGGCAAAUUUAGAACUCUCAUUUUUCUCAGUCCAUUACCUCCACCUGUUUUGAGCUUGCCCUAAUCUUCCUCUCCACUAUUUCUCAAGAUACUUCAUUUUGUUAGAUUGUAACGUUUUCGCACUUUACUAACAAAACCCUUUACACCUUCCUUGAAGUGCCUUUUCUCAACUGACAAUAUAGCUAAGGACAGUUUCAGAAAAAUACUUGCUACGGUCCGAAAACCCUUGCAUUAACAAUGGUGAUAAAAUCAUGAUCAGAAUGGUUUUUAUCUCCGUAGAAGACACUAACAAUACCUAGUAGUCACCCUUUUUUUUUUUCAAAGAAAAAGCUGUAAGAAUUGUUUAUCUCCAAAAAAAGCAAUAUCUUGAAAUGCGUAUUCGUAUUACAUGAUUCUUAAUACUUGUUUAUAUUUGGUGAAAUGUAGGACGACAUGGCAUAUAUGGAAUCUGUGAUCUGGAUUUUCCAUCAGAUGAUAGAGAUGAAAGCCUCUGCUCUCUUGCCAAAAGUUCUCGGCUCCCACAAGCAAAUCAAAUCGCAAUGCCCAGUUCGAUCUGAUCUUGAUGACAUUAAGCGAAAGGUCCUUGAAAUCGAGCUCGAGUUCAAGGACACUGGUUUGACAGAUGAGGCAAAGCGGAGAUUGCUCAAAUUAGAAGAGGAGUUUAAAAGAUUAGAUAAAAAAUGGAUGAAGGUAUGGUAUUGUUUACAAAUUUAAUUACCACAUUUAGUUUCAUGAUGUAACAUAUUAUUCUGACUUUUUAACUUGGUUUUUCAGGACUUGACAAAAGCUGGGAACCUUGAUGCAAUCUUCACUAAUAAUAUGGUAUGCACAUAAACGUUUCUUAUGAUUGAUAUUAACCUAGAUUAUUAUUCUUGAAUAAAAUGAACAUUUCUCAUUUAUAAAUCACAUUAUAAUUAUAUUUUUCUUUCCUCUUAGACAUGUUUUUUAGAUAGUAAAAAUGGUAAAAAUAUCAUGGAGAGUCUUGUACUAGAAGUCAGAUUACUUUUUUGUCCCCACUAAAAAAAUAGACAAUUAGUCCUUAUAUUAUCAGAGCAAAUGGCUCCAUCUAUUACAAAUUUCAUUAAUUUCUACUGUUCAAAUCUAGUCCUUAGACCUUAACAUGAGGUAUACGUAACACGUCACAUGUAACUGUUUUGGUUAUUCUGUUAUCUACAUCAGUUUUUAACUAUAAAAAUAGACGAUAAUUUCAACAGAAAAGCUUAGUUUGGUUUUUUUUUUUAUUAAAUGGGCAAAAUACAAUUUAAUAUAAUAUUUUUACUUAGAAAAAAGUCGUUUUCAACUAUUUUUCAUGGAUUUGAGUGUGACUAGAGAAUACUAUUGCAUGCCCCGCUACAUAUAAUUUUCUUUUUUAUGUAUUUAGAGGAAUCCUUGGUGAUCAUAUGUGAUACCUACAUUUGAAUAUGUGUUUCUACAUUAAUCUUUUUAAAAAUCAAUUUACAAUUGCAAUAUCUUUCCUCACGCACCCGACCACUUUAAGCUAUUUUAGUAAGUUUUUUCUAAAUUUUUUUCAUGCAUUUAGGUGAACCUUGGACGGUCAUUCCAUGCCCGUAUCUGAAUAUAUGUGGAACAUGUACAUUUCAAGCAAAAUGAUAAUAAUACAUGUAGUUGAAUCUUUCUAAGCGCAUAUCUUACUUUAUUAAUUUGUUCAACAUCCAUUUCUGUGGUAUCUCUUGGUUUUUUUUUUUUUGGCAGUAUAUCCAAUUAAUUCUUAAAUUUGCCCCUGUUUAAAUCUCUUUUUGAUCAUUAAAUUAUAUUUCUUUUAAAUUUCAGGAUUUCAGCGUGGAGACACUAAGGAAAGAGGUACGGUGUAUCUAGGUCUAUAUAUAUAAGUUGGAUUAUCUAUCCAAGUCCAAAAACUCAUUUCAAAAAUGGGAAGAUUUGAGCAAAAAUAUUAGGUCGAAAAAUGAGUUUGAGCAAAAAAAAAAAAAUUAGGCCCAUUUUAAAAAUGGGUCGAACUCGGGCUUAAACAUUUAAGGCCGAACCUUGUUUUUUAAGUUUGUGAUAUUUUAUAUUAUAUAUUAUAAAAUUUAUAAUGUAAAUAUUAAAAAAAAAAGUUAAGGUAACUAUUAAAGUGAGCUUGGAUUAGCUAUUUACAAAUAUGGACAACGUUACUUAAACUUUUAGGUUCAUAUUUUGAAUUGAACCAGGUUUAAACAAGCAUAAUGCGUAUUAAUAACAUGUUUAGAUUCAAUUUAGCCGAUAAACCCCUCUAUAUAAACCUAUUUGGAAACUCAAUUUUCAAAACAUGAAUUUUGUUUUGUAAGCUUUACGACAUAAAUGAAAUAUUUAUGGUUAUUUUUCAAAUAAUAAUGAGAACUAAUUUAUAUUUAUAGUAAAUGAAAUACAAAUCUAAAUCUUUAAAAUUCAUGCUUCCAUAAAGUAACUUUACAUUGAAAUUUUAAUUUAUUGUCUAUAUUUGUUGUUGUUGUAGCUUUUCUCAGCAGGUCCAUGGAUUGAUAUGAAGAAAUUGCUUUAAAUAAUGAUCUUUAUGCUGCUGAUUAAGAUCAUGGAAGUUUGGCAGCUGGUGAAGGAUAUCACUCAUCUUUUGUUAUCUUUUAGAACACACUCAACUUUGAAGGAUUGUUUGAUAUAUUUUUAAUCUUCUCUAUGAAACUCUAAGGUUUUAACUUUGUGGAACUAAAAUCUAAUAAAAAGUGGUACUCCAAAACAAAAACAAAAAAAUCUUAAGAAUUUAUGAGUAAGGGCAGGCAUGAAAAUUUUCUAUUUAGAUCUUUUAUAUAAUUUUUAAAAUUUUAAAUUAAUAAAAGUAAAAUUAUUCUUUGGUUACCUUUAAAAAUGAUAAAAUUUUAAUUUAAUCAUUUAAAAGUUAUACUUUUAUUAUCGUAAAAAUUAUAAUUUAAUUUCGACUCUUCCUAAAAAGAUUUUCCGACUUCACCUCUUAAUAAAAGUGUACAACUGAGCUUAGUUGAGUUACAUGAAGUUCGAAAUUUAGAUUUGAAGUUUAGUUUCGACUUAUCUAUAUUGAGCUGGAUUCAAAAUUAAAAUUAUAUUAUGCCAUUCAUUAUAGUUAAAAAGAAUCAAAUGUAGACAUCAUUAAAACCUUCUUUAAUUCUUUUACUUCCAUUUAAAACAUUUUUAAACAAAUAUUUUUUUUUUCUUAUAGUCAAUUUUUAAUUUAAAAUUUAUUUUUAUGUGGAUAAUGUCAUGCCUUGGACUUAGGUUUGACAGACGUCUCACAUGUAAGAAUGCUAUCCAUUCGAUUUGCUUUUUUAUUUUUUUAUAUUAAUUUUGAGUUUUGGAAUUUUAUAUACAUUUUAACAAAAUGAAAUUGCUUUUAUGAUUUUUGAAUAUUAUUUAACAAAAUUUUAAAAUAUUUUCAUAAAUAUUUCUAAAAAAUAAUAUUUUUUUAAGAAGUAUUAGAUAAUUUUUACUAUUUUAAAUAUAAAAUAUUUUUUAUAUCAUAAAAAUUAAAAUUAAUUAUUAAAUAGAAAAAUAAAAUUCAGAUUGAUUUCGUGUAAUCGUGUUUUUUAAACAUACAUUAUAUAAAUCACUCAAACACUUUAAUUUGAGUUGGUUUUUGAUUUUGUGAAUUUUCUUGCUUAGUCCUAUACAUAUAUAAGAAAAGAAAAAUCUCACAAAUAUGUAAAAGUACAACCAAGUAACAUAAAACGUGAUUAAUAUGUUUUAAAAUCGAAAAAUUAGACAUUCAUACCAUUAAAUUUGUCACGUCUCGAGUCGAGGUAUAAUAAACGCAAGAGAUACGUAAAAUAAAAGCUCAUGCCUCUAACUUUCAUUCAUUUUUAUCAUUUUGAAUCUUGUUCUUUUUUAGGUCAUUUUAGCCUUAAGCUUUAAAAUUAAUUUAUUUAUUUGCUUUUAUUGAAAUGUUAAAAUUUUAAUGGUAUGGAUAUGCUAAUUCAUGCUGCAGUUUAUGUAUAUUUCACUAUUAACAUUGAUAAAAAUUUUAAAAAUUUUUAGCAACUUUUUUGAAUUAUCAUAAAUUAUUAAUUUCUAAUAUCACAUAUGAUUUUAUACGUUUAAUAUUUAAUUAAUAUUUUAAAUAUAAUUUUUUAUUACAGUAAUUAGUAUUAAAAUUUAUUAAUUUACUAAUAGAAAAUUUAAAGUAUUUUUAUUGUAUUUAAAUUAGGGUCUGUUUGAUUGACGGAAUUGAUUUUCCGGAAAAUCAUUUCCAACUUUUCCAGCGUUUGAUUGGCGGAAAAUAUUUUCCAUUUGGAAAAUGAACUCUAAAACAAGGGAAAAUGGGUUACAUUUUAGGGAAAAUGUCUUACCCUUUCAAUUUCCGUAAAACAUUUUCCGUGCUCUCCUCUCUAUCGCCUCCUUCAUUCCUUCCUUCAUUUCCGGUAGAAAACUGCUUCUGUUUAUCGAUUUUCCAGUAACUUGUUUUUUUAAUUAUUCAAUACUUAUUUUUUUAACACAAUUACAAAUGAUUUAUUUGAUAUUAGUUUUUUUCAAUUUAUAACGAUUAAUAUUGUAGCUUAAUAAUUGAGUAUUAUUAUAAAUAAAUCAUUGCAAUAUAUGUAAAAAUAAUUUAAAAUAUAAAAAUUUAUUAAUAUAUGUAAAAACAACUUUUCCGAAAAAUAUUUUCAAAAAAUCUGCCAAGCAGCAGAAAAUAUUUUACACAGAUUCAAUCAAACACUAGAAAAUAUUUCCAGUAAAUCAUUUUACAGAAAAGUAAAACAUUUUCCAGAAAUCAUUUUACGGAAAAUAUUUUACUGGCAAUCAAACAGACCCUUAAAGUAACAUUAUUCCACACUUAACCGCACUCGUCCGCUCAGCUCACUUUCGCGCGGUCCUAACUAGUCUCCGCACUUUCAAAUGUACAUACCUUGCAGUUUCAGUCCUCCAUAGUCUUUGGUCUAUACAAUUAAGGCUUUAAUUUCAGUUUUAUUUAUUCAAUUUAAUUCCUAUUAUUAUUCGUAUUAUUUAUUUUAGUUAUUUUUCUUAAUUAAUUAUUUACUGUGAUUUGAAAACUUUUAUUUGCAUUCUUGACAUCACAAUGUCUGACUGAUACCACAAUAUCUCUAUAUUAUUUUGAACCUUUUUUAAUCUUUUAAAGUCCGUUUUAGUCUCGAAUGCCUCUGAACAUUCAAAAAUUAAUUUUUUAAAUGAUUUCAAUACGAUCUUAAAGUCCUAAAAUUGAAUCUAUCUACUUCCUAAAAUUUUAUAAAACUUAAUCUAAUUUCUUACUGAAUGGUCCCACAUAGUUUUGAGCUUUUUCAAAGUCUCGAGACCUGAUACGAGUUAUGAACACCUUUAACUCACCUCAAACCAUUUUUAAAUGAUUUAAAAUUGUUUAUAAAACCAUCCAAAAAUCCAAACUUGAUUUAAUGAUUUAACAAAAAUAUUUUUAAAUUACAACUCUUCAAUGAUUUUGAGGAUUUUGACUCGUAUAUGUUCUGGUAGGUAUUACAUUUUGUGGUAUCUCAAAGUUUAAAAAUAAAGUAAGGACUAAAUUUUAAAUUUUAAAAAGUAAAGGGAUGUUAAUGGUAAUUUUAUUAACCAAAAGUCAAAUGUGACGCUUCCCUGGUUUUCUUUCUCUCGAUCCAACUUUUUAAUCGCCUUGUGUAUAGCAUCAGCAACCAUAUUCGUUGUUUGUGGUACAUGUUGAAUCUUCACUUGCCAACCCUUCGUCAUCCAGCUGUGAACCUCCAAUGCCAAUCUCAACAAUCCCAUUGCUUUGGCUCCUAGUGUUAAGUCCACUAUUGUUUUACUAUCACUCUCAAUUAGCAGCCAACGCACCCCCUUCUCCCAAGCCGUUUCCAGCCCAUCAACAAUUGCUCUAAGUUCUACCUAUAGUUACUUUUAUUUUAACUCGAUAUGGUUAUGGUAUUUUUUCUUCUAUAUCUCUAAAGCCUACGGUUUUAAUAUUUUAAAUUCAGUAUUUUGUUUGUCUUACCCUUUAGCUAUACAUUUAUCCAUCAUAAGUUAUAACUACCAUUAAAAUUGUAAUGAAAUUAAACAAAAAUAUGUGUACCAAAUCGAUGGAAGAAAUUAAAUUUUUAAGUACAAAAGUAAGAAAAAAUGUUUAGGUACUAAUGUGAAAAAAUGGUUAAUUCAAAGGCUAAAUGGUACAUUUACGCCUACGAAUUCUGGGGUGUAAUUUGUAAACCCAUGAAUAGUUUUAGGGUUUAAUUGGAAUUGUAUUUCCGGCCUUUAAAUUCUUAAAGGUAUUGUCCUCCCGUUCCUUGAACUAAUAUUUCCCGUUCCUUUCGGUUCAAGCAAUGAUCAAAAUAGGUCAAAUUUCAUAUUCAGUACCUGCACUAUGUUUUUCUUUUUGAUUUAGUCUCUCCUCUAUAAUUUGGUCAUUUCCAGCCUUUUUACUUUUUAAAAUGUGUAAUUUCAAUCAAUAUUGAGAUUACUUUUUUUUUUAAAACAUAUGAUGAGAUGAGAUGAGAUGAGAUGAGAUGAAAUGUAUAAUUUAUUAUUUUAUAUAUCUAGAUAACUUUUUUUUACAUUUAGAAAACAAAAGAAAAUUGUAUAAUAUUUAUCUAAUUAUACAAAAAAAUUUAAAAUACAUAUAGAAUGCACAACAGAAAUGGCUUUAGGACUGAAAAUACAUGUUUCGAAAAGUAAUGGGACUAGAAAUUAAUAAAUUAUAUAGAGGGAUUAAAUCCUUAAAAAAAUCAUUAAUAAUUUAUUUAUGGAGGAAAUAAAAAUUCAUAAUUUCACUUAAUAUAGAUUCCAAGUAAAAAUUCUGCUGUUUAAUUUAGUUUCUAUACUUUGUGAAAGUUGCUUCUUUAGUUUCUAUAUUUAAUUUUAAUUAAACUUGGUCUCUAUACUUUUCAAAUUAGUUAAUUUUAGUCCCUGUAACUUUUAAUUUUAAAUUUUUAGUUUUGAACCAAACAGUAGAAGCUAAAUUUGUUUGGUUAAAAUCAAUUACUAGUCAUGUACUACGCGCAUAAUUGUAGAUUUAGUUUAUGGUCUUCAAUUGGAUCAUUCUAGGUCUUUAUAUUUGUUUCCAAAUUGAAAUUCUAGUUUUGAUGUAAAUAAUAGUCGCUAAUCCAUUAAUUGGAUUUUGACAUUACACGUAUGAUAAUAUGUUUAUCGCAUCGAAUUUUGAAAGUAAUAGAACUCGAUGAAUUUUACUGUUAUCAUUUGGUGAGUAUUGAAAUUUUAAAAUUUGAAAAGAAUAAGGACCAAAUUCAUAACAUCCAUAAAGUGACUAAUAGCACAGUUUAACCUUGUUAUAUAUAAUAUCUUCAUUCUUCAAGGACUUGGCUGCAGCACUUGCCUUAUUUCCUUUUCUGUAUUAGCUCUCCACUAAAGAUUUCGUUCAUCUUCCCUGACAGUGAGUAUUGCUGAAUUACUAAUUGAUUAUGAUAUCUUAACUUGAUUUUGCGGAGUUUUGUUUUUCAUUUGGAGAAAUCUCUUGCUUUAUAUCAUUUCGUUUUUGUUAGUUUAUAUCUGUAAUGUUUUUACCUGUUUUCAAUUUGAAUGUCAGUAGAUCUGUGAAAGAUGAGCAGCGAUGACAGUUUGGACAAACUUAUAAAAGGAACGUUUGUUGAUCCCUCGCCGGAAAAUAGCCUGGAACUUAGAGAAGACCUUCGACAGGUUGGGAUUCCGGCAACUGAAGCGCAAAUUGGCGCGAACGUACCGCCGUUGCCGAGCGAUGAUAACCAGGUCAACUCUUUGAGCUUGAUGUCAAGUAGUAGAAUGAAAAGAAACCUGGAAUUUGUUUUCGAUAAUUUCUCGGGAGAUAAAGGAGAAGAAAAAAAGCAGCGCCGAGGAGGCUUUUAUAUCGGUGAAUCAUCAAAUCCGCAGCAACAACGAGGAGCGGGAAGUAAAGAAGAGGAUUUAUCUGAGCUGGAAAUGGCGAAAGCUUUCAAGGAUCGUAUUAACAGUCAGAUAAAGAUGGUAAUGUUUCUUAAUUGAAUUUAAAAAAUUAGUAUUAAAUACUCAUCACCGUUAGUAUAUGUUGAAGUUAGAUAAAUACUGCAUCCACUGCCAAGAACCCUGCUUUGAACCCUGCUUUUAGCCUUCUGUAGAUGCCUUUUCUUUUUUAUACUAGGAAUCUGUUCUUACAAUGGGAAACAACAGUUUGGAUGAAGAAGAAUUAUCCUUGCUUUUUAUUUUAUUUACUUAAAAAAUUAGAUAAAUUAAAAUUUUGUAUAUUAAAUCAAGAGAAAAUCUAUUUUUUUUUGGUUAAAAAUCUCAUUCAUUUGUAUUAUGAAAAAUUGGCAUAGUUAACAUAUAAAUGACCGAUUUUUAAUAAUAAAAAUAAAUAAAAUUUCUAACAAAAGUACUAGUUUAUUCUUUAAUCUACUUUAAACUAAAAUACGUAAAUUAAUUUACUCAAUUUUUAGUAAAAGGAAUGAAGUGCAAUCCAACUUUUAAUACAGGUAACUUUGUAAUACUUUUACCAAUAUUUUAGAGAGCAUCAUUGUUCAAUAAGUUUAAUUUUUACUUUUUUUUUUUUUAAUACAAGUGCUUUGCUACCCAUUUCUUUAUUGAAUAAACACUUUUUUUUGCUGAAAUGCUUUAAGUGAUUAUAACUUUUAUGUAGCCACCAUUAUACUCAUUAUCUAUACAAUUAUUGCUUUCCAUUUUUCCAUGUUCAAGCAACCCUUUUAAUUUCACUACCCUAUUUAGCAUGUUCAUUCUUACUUUCUCAUUUUAAUAGUCCUUUAGUAACUUUUUACCUAAAGCUUAUAGGGGUUUGAAUGUUUUGUUAGGGGACUUUUGGACCUUGUGGCAAAUUUAGAACUCUCAUUUUUCUCAGUCUAUUACCUCCACCAGUUUAGAGCUUGCCCUAAUCUUCCUCUCCACUAUUUCUAAAGAUAUUUCAUUUUGUUAGAUUGUAACGUUUUCUCACUUUACUAACAAAACCCUUUACACCUUCCUUGAAGUGCCUUUUCUCAACUGACAAUAUAGCUAAGUACAUUUUCAGAAAAAAUACUGGGUACGGUCCGAAAACCCUUGCAUUAACAAUGGUGAUAAAAUCAUGAGAAUGGUUUUUAUCUCCGUAGAAGACACUAACAAUACCUAGUAGUCACCCUUUUUUUUUUUCAAAGAAAAAGCUGUAAGAAUUGUUUAUCUCCAUAAAAAGCAAUAUCUUGAAAUGUGUAUUCGUAUUACAUGUUUCUUAAUACUUGUUUAUAUUUGGUGAAAUGUAGGACGACAUGGCAUAUAUGGAAUCUGUGAUCUGGAUUUUCCAUCAGAUGAUAGAGAUGAAAGCCUCUGCUCUCUUGCCAAAAGUUCUCGGCUCCCUCAAGCAAAUCAAAUCGCAAUGCCCAGUUCGAUCUGAUCUUGAUGACAUUAAGCGAAAGGUCCUUGAAAUCGAGCUCGAGUUCAAGGACACUGGUUUGACAGAUGAGGCAAAGUGGAGAUUGCUCGAAUUAGAAGAGGAGUUUAAGAGAUUGGAUAAAAAAUGGAUGAAGGUAUGGUAUUGUUUACAAAUUUAAUUACCACAUUUAGUUUCAUGAUGUAACAUAUUAUUCUGACUUUUUAACUUGGUUUUUCAGGACUUGACAAAAGCUGUUAACCUUGAUGCAAUCUUCACUAAUAAUAUGGUAUGCACAUAAACGCUUCUUAUGAUUGAUAUUAACCUAGAUUAUUAUUCUUGAAUAAAAUGAACAUUUCUCAUUUAUAAAUCACAUUAUAAUUAUAUUUUUCUUUCCUCAUUCAUUAGACUUGUUUUUUAGAUAGUAAAAAUGAUAAAAAUAUCAUGGAGGGUUUUGUAUUAAAAAUCAGAUUACUUUUUGUCUCCUCUAAAAACAAAUGGACAGUUAGUCUUUAUAUGUAAUAUCAGAGCAAAUGGCUCCAUCUAUUACAAAUUUUAUUAAUUUCUACUGUUAAAAUCUAGUCAUUAUACCUUAGCAUGAGGUAUAUGUAACACGUUACAUAUACAUGUUUGGUUAUUCUGUUAUCCACAUCAAUUUUUAACUAUAGAAAUAGACUAUAAUUUUAACAGAAAAGCUUAGCUUGCUUUUUUUUUUUUAUUAAAUGAGUAAAAUAUAAUCUAACUUAUAAUACAAAAGUCUCUAUAAUAUUUUUACUUAGAAAAAAAGGGUCAUUUUCAAUUUUUUUCUAUGCAUUUAGAGGAAUCCUUGGUGAUCAUAUGUGAUACCUACUACAUUUGAAUAUGUGUUUCUACAUUAAUCUUUUAAAAAUCAAUUUACAAUUGCAAUAUCUUUCCUCACGCACCCGACCACUUUAAGCUAUAUAUUUUAGUAAGAAUUUUUAAAAUUUUUUUUCAUGUAUUUAGGUGAACCUUGGACGGUCAUAUUCCAUGCCCAUAUCUGAAUAUAUGUGUAACAUGGACAUUUCAAGCAAAAUGAUAAUAAUACAUGUGGUUGAAUCUUUCUAAGCAUAUGAUAUAUUAGAAGCUAUAAACUUGAGAAUGAAAAAAAGUGCAUAUCUUACUUUAUUAAUUUGUUCACCGUCCAUUUCUCUUGUAUCUCGUCUUUUUUAUUUUUAUUUUUGCAGUAUAUCCAAUUAAUUCUUAAACUUGCCCCUGUUUGAAUCUCUUCUUGAUCAUUAAGUUUUAUUUCUUUUAAAUUUCAGUAUUUCAGCGUGGAGACACUAAGGAAAGAGGUACGGUGUAUCUAGAUCUAUAAAUAAGUUGCAUUAUCUAUCCAAGUCCAAAGACUCAUUUCAAAAAUGGGAAGGUUUGGACAAAAAUAUUAGGUCGAAAAAUGAGUUUGAGCAAAAAAAAUUAGGCUCAUUUUAAAAAUGGGUCGAGCUCGGGCUUGAACAUUUAAGGCCGAAGCUUGUUUUUAAAUUUGUAAUAUUUUAUUAUAUUAUAAAAUUUAUAAUGUAAAUAUUAAAAAAAAUUUAAGAUAACUAUUAAAAUGAGCUUGGAUUAGCUGUUUAGAAAUAAUGACAGCCUCACCUAAAUUUUUAGGUUUAUAUUUCGCAUUGGACCAAUUUUAAACAAGCAUAAUACGUAUUAAUAACAUGUUUAAAUUCAAUUCAGCCCAUAAACACUUCUAUAUAUACCUAUUCGGAAACUCAAUUUUCGAAACAUGAAUUUUGGUUUGUAACCUUUACUACAUAAAUGUAAUAUUUAUGAUUAUUUUAAAAAUAAUAAUGAGAACUAAUUUAUAUUUAUAGUAAAUGAAAUACAAAUCUAAAUCUUUAAAAUUCACGUUUCCAUAAAGUAACUUUACAUUGAAAUUUUAAUUUAUUGUCUAUAUUUGUUGUUGUUGUAGCUUCUUUCAGCAUGUCCAUGGAUUGAUAUGAAGAAGUUACUGUAAAUAAUGAUCUUUAUGCUGUUGAUUAAGAUCAUGGAAGUUUGGCAGCUUGUGAAGGAUAACUUAUCAUUAUUAUCACUCAUCUUUUGUUAUCUUUUAGAACACAAUCAACUUUGAAGGAUUGUUUGAUAUAUUUUUAAUCUUCUCUAUGACACUCUAUGGUUUUAACUUUGUGGAAUUAAAAUCUAAUAAAAAAAUCUGAAGAAUUUAUGAGUAAGGGCAGCCAUGGAAAUUUUCUAUUUAAAUCUUUUAUUUACUUUUUAAAAUUUUAAAUUAAAAAAAUAAAAUUAGACUUUAGUUAUCUUUAAAAUUAAUAAAAAUUUAAUUUAAUUUUUUAAAAUAGUAAAAAUUAUAAUUUAAUUUCGACUUUUCCUAAAAAAAAUUCCUAAGUUAACUGUACAAUUGAGCUUAAUUGAGUUACAUGAAGUUUAGUAUCAACUUAUCUAUAUUGAGCUGGAUUCAAGAUUGAAAUUAAAUUAUGCCCAUUCAUUAUAAUUAAAAAGAAUCAAAUGUAGACAUUAAAACCUUUUUUAAUUCUUUUACUUCUAUUUAAAACAUUUUUAAACAAAUAAAUUUUUGUCUUAUAGUCAAAUUUUAAUUUAAAAUUUAUUUGUAUGUGGAUAAUGUCAUGCCUUGGAGUUUGGACUAAGGUUUGACAUACGUGUCACAUGUAAGAAUGCUAUCGAUUGAUUUGGUUUUUCUAUUUGUUAUAUUAAUUUUGAGUUUUAGAAUUUUAAAUCCAUUUUAACAAAAUGAGUUUUAUUUUAUAAUUUUUGAAUAUUAUUUGACAAGUUUUAAAAUAUUUUAUAAAUAUUUUUAAAAAACAAAUAACUUUUUAAGAAGCAUUAGAUAAUUUUUACUAUUUUAAAUAUAAAAUAUUUUUAUAUCAUAAAAAUUAAAAUUAAUUAUUAAAUAGAAAAAUAAAAUUCGGAUUAAUUUCGUGUAAUCGUGUUUUCUAAACAUACAUUAUAUAAAUCGUGUUUUCUAAACAUACAUUAUAUAAAUCGUGUUUUUUAUUUUGUGAAUUUUCUUGCUUAGUCCUAUACAUAUGUAAGAAAAAAAAUUACAACCAAGCAACAUAAAAGCAUGAUUAAUAUGUUUUAAAAUCGAAAAAUUAGACUUUAAUACCAUUAAAUUUGUCACGUCUCGAGUCGAGACAUAAUAAACGCAAGAGAUAAAUAAAAUAAAAGUUCAUGCAAAAGUUAUCACUUAAAUAUUACAACAAUUACAAAUAUCCAAAGAUGUUGGCCUCUAACUUUUAUUCAUCUUUUAUCAUUUUGAAUCUUAUUCUUUUUGAGGUUAUUUUAGCCGUAAUCUUUAAAAUCUAAUUAAUUUAUUUGCUCUUGGAUAAUAAAAAAUUAAUUGAAAUGUUAAAAUUUUAAUGGUAUUGAUGUGGUAACUCAUGCUGCAUUUUACGUAUAUUUCACUAUUAACAUUGAUAAAAAUUUUAAAAAAUUUUAUCAACUUUUUUGAAUUUUCAUAAAUUAAUAAUUUCUAAUAUCACAUAUGAUUUUAUACGUUUAAUAUUUAAUUAAUAUUUUAAAUAUAAUUUUUUAUUACAAUAAUUAGUAUUAAAAUUUAUUAAUUUACUAAUAGAAAAUUUAAAGUAUUUUUAUUGUAUUUAAAAUUUUAAAGUAACAUUAUUCCACACUUAACCGCACUCGUCCGCUCGGCUCACUUCCGCGCGGUCCUACCUAGUCUCCGCACUUUCAAAUGUACAUACCUUGCAGUUUCAGUCCUCCAUAGUCUUUGGUCUAUACAAUUAAGGCUUUAAUUUCAGUUUUAUUUAUUCAAUUUAAUUCCUAAUAUUAUUAUUAUUUAUUUUAGUUAUUUUUCUUAAUUAAUUAUUUACUGUGAUUUAAAAACUUUUAUUUGCAUUCUUGACAUCACAAUGUCUGACCGAUACCACAAUAUCUCUAUAUUAUUUUGAACUUUUUUUAACCUUUCAAAGUCCGUUUUAGUCUCGAAUGCCUGAAAUUAAUUUUUUAAAUGAUUUCAAUACGAUAUUAAAGUCCUAAAAUUGAAUCUAUCUACUUCCUAAAAUUUUAUAAAACUUAAUCUAAUUUCUUACUGAAUGGUCCUACACAGUUUUGAGCUUUUUCAAAGUCUCGAGACCCGAUACGAGUUAUGAACACCUUUAACUCACCUCAAACUGUUUUUAAAUGAUUUUAAAUUAUUUAUAAAACCAUCCAAAAAUCCAAACUGGAUUUAACGAUUUAAGAAAAAUAUUUUUUAAAUUACAACUCCUCAAUGAUUUUGAGGAUUUUGACUCGUAUAUGUUCUGGUAGGUAGUACAUUUUGUAGUAUCUCAAAGUUUAAAAAUGAAGUAUAGACUAAAUUUUAAAUUUUAAAAAGUAAAGGGAUGUUAAUGGUAAUUUUAUUAACCACAAGUCAAAUGUGACACUUCACUGGUGUUCUUUCUCUCGAUCCAACUUUUUAAUCGAGUUGCUUUCGACCUUAAGCCUCUAUUUAAAUGAGAACUUCCUCUCUAAUGGAUUUCAUCAUUUCUUCACCAUUAACGCAGCAGCAGCUCCUUCUCUUCUCUUCUCCACACUACAUCAAAGCAGUGAGUUGCUAUUUCAAUUCACUUAACUCAUUUCCCCUCACUUUCUGUACAUGUAUUGCUUUGAUUUUUGCUAAAUUUAUAAUUUCAUAUCCGUUAAGUUUUGUUAGUUUAUGAUUUUGACUUGCUUGCUUGUUUCUAUUUUCGUUCUGAAUUAGGAAAAUCUUUUGAUUGUUUUAGAUUCAGAAAUUUGAUUUGAGUUAAAAUUUUCAGAUCCGUGUAAGAUGACGAAUUGGUCUAGUCUCAGUGGCCAUAGGGAUAUCAUUAUGAUACCCACACCUGGAGCGCCAAAUGGUGCUGAUGGACAACCAUCGGCCGAUCAUUAUCAGGUGAAUUCCUCGAGCUCGAUGUUGACCGGAGGAAAGAAAAGAAAGCAGAAACCUGAAGGAAAAGGUCAAGGCAUCAAGAAACAGUGCCUGGCCCGGGUAACCGGUGAAGAAGAGAGUGUGGGAGAGCUUACUGUACAGCAUAGUGGGAAAAUCUACACUGACCAAAUCAACAGAAGGAUAUGUAAAGUAAAUUCUCUUAACUGAACUUAGCCAUUCACAUCAACUGAAGCAAAAACCAUGAGAAAGAUUUUCUCUGUCUCUUACUUUGACACUUGCUUUGUGUGUAUUUGGUGGCAUAAAGGUGAAGGAAAAACUUUUGGAUUGGCUAAGGAACUGUCCAGAAGUUAUAUCCAUCAUCAAUCAAAUUGAAGAGAAAUGGCCACUGCUAUCUGAACUCCAAAAAAUUAAGGAGAAAAAUAGUGAAAUCCAAACCGAGUUCAAGGCAGGCCGUUUAAAAGAGGAUGGGGCGAUGCAGAAAAUGGACGAACUAAAAGAGAGGCUCAAUCGUGUAGAUGGACAACUACAGGUGUGCUAAUGUUUACCAAUCGAAUUACUGAGUUUGGUUUCAUGAUCUAAUUGUCCAAUUUAACUUUGGUUUUUCAGGAGUUCCACAAAGCAAACAACGUUGAGGUAAGCACAGUAACAAUAUAAUUACUAAGUUCGAUAUCCUCUUGAUCUAACGAUUUAACUUGGUUUUUCAGGAGUUGAACAAAGUAAAGAAACUUGAGACAAUGUUCCUUAAAAAUGAGGUAAGCACAUUUCUUAUCAUUGAUAUUAACUAAUAUAGUAGGGCAUAGUACCAAUAAAGUCCCAUGUCCUUAUCCACUAAACUUGUUUUUAGACAUAGCAAAAAGUAUUUUUCUUCAGCUAUUUGUUUGGAUUCGGGUUUAUGCAUUGGAUACAUAUUUGUGUAUUUGAAAAUAUACCUAUAUUCAAAUAUAUGUUGGUAUGUUCCUCAUUUAUAAAUCCAAUUACAAUGUAAUAUGUUUCUUCAUCUACUACACUUCAUUUCUAAAUUUAGUAAAAUGUCAUUUUCAGUUAUAUUAAUUGGAUUCGAGUAUGAAUAUUUUUAUAUGGAUUCACAAUUUUAUAGGUUCACGUUUAAUCUUGACAUAUUUAAAUUUUUUUUAAAUCAUAUAUUUUAGAAAAUAUCGAACGUUAUAUUUUAAACUAAUAUUCAUAAAUAUGCCCUUAUUUGCAUCAUAUGUUGAAUCAUAUUUCUUGAUGAAUUUGUUGUCUACCCAUAUCUUCCUUUUUCAGGUCUCAAUAUCUAAAGUUAUCUUAGACUUGCCCUUAUUUGCAUCUUUAAUAAUUUGUUUAUAUUUCUCCUAAAUUUCAGGAAUAUGACGUGGAAACUCUUGAAAAAGAGGUAUGGCAUAUAUAUAUAUAUAUAUAUAUAUAAAUGAAAUUGGUAGGUGAUGAUCGGUAGAUUUGAAAACUUGAAUUUCGAAAAUAGCAUUAGACAUAAAUAUUAUUUAUCAAAUGAUUUAAUACAUAAUUUGAUAUUUAAGUUUAAUAUUUUUUUCUAAUAUUUAUGUGUUAAGUAUGGAGUUUGUACACACUAAUAUAAAUUUAAUUAUUUCUCAAAUCCAUAAUUUGAAAUUAUCGGAUGGUUGUUUAGUAAAUAAUCUAAAAAUUCAUGUUUUUUUUCAAAGUACAUAAUCCCACAUUGAAUCUCAGUUGAUUUCUAUAUAAUCAUAUACACAACAAUUUCGUGACAAUUAAUGUAGUAAAUGAAAUUUGAAAUUUUGACUUGUUUUCCAUGUUUGUUGUUUUAGUUUUUUUCUGCAGUGCCAAGUACGCAAGGAGUUGCUGCAACUGGUGGUCAUGAAAGUUUGUCAACUUUUGGUGGUAUGGAUAUCCCAAUUUGUGGCAUCGAACAAAAGUCCCCAUGGCAUACCACUGGGGAACACUAUUACCAGGGAAUGCUUGAACAGGGUGGGAGUGAGGCGUCUGAAGCACAAUACAACACAAACACACCACCAUUGUCGCACAGUGAUAAUCAGAUGAACUUAAUGCUCAGUGGGAGCAACAAAAGAGAUGGGGUUUCAGAAGCUGGAGUACAAGUUACUGAAAUGAAUGAUGUUACUAUUCCUGUUGAUCAAGACCACGAAAGUUUGCUGGCUAGGGAGAUGUUGAAGCGUAAUUAUAGUUCCUGGCUAUCCGGACUUUUUAACAAGGACAACAACAGUGUGGAAGUUGCACACUUCCAUGGUUUACAAGAAGCAUUGGACGAAACUCGUUAUGGGGAAACACCAGACUACCUCAAACGUAUCGCAACCCUAAUCGAAGUGGAUCGUGGAAAAGUUACUAAGUUUGGCCAUAAAAAUAUUGAAGUGCUGGUUUGUGCCGCAUUCAAAGAGAUGGAAGACUGGCGUACACCUAAGGAUUCCGGCUGUAACCAGUUGAAAA
RNAcentral lists this long non-coding RNA (47981 nucleotides) under Gossypium raimondii (Peruvian cotton). Its description in RNAcentral is "long non-coding RNA (GRAI_LNC006015)". The stretch from base 21412 to 21529 matches the Rfam family "U5 spliceosomal RNA". The record is from RNAcentral. Lineage: Eukaryota; Viridiplantae; Streptophyta; Magnoliopsida; Malvales; Malvaceae.